UUUUUUUUCUUUUUUUGUGAUAUCCUCUAUUGUGAUGUUGUGGAUUUGUUUUCACCCCAUUACCAUGCUUGUUAUUGUUGGAUGUUUAGGGUGCUAGUUCAUUUUGGCUUCUUAUUUGGAUUGAUGCAUAUUAUGGCUUACUCUUGCUUUUCGAACCUCCCUCUUGAAUUAGAAUCUCUGGAUGUCUUUGGAUGCAUUCUUAGUAUUUUCAUACUGCUUGAGGAUGAAUAGGUUGUUAAGUAGAUCAUUUGUGGACCACCUCCUGUUUUUCUGAAAUUAGUUUGCUUCGAACUUGCGCAUAUGGAAGUUAUGAGUUUUUGCCUAUACUUGUUUGAUAUGUAUGAUAGAUUCUCUUUGUUGAGGUUGUUUGUGGUGUUAUGAAGUCAAAAUGGACAGGACGGAUCCGAAUGAGGAUGCUUGAACAAAAUGCAUUUGGGGUUUGUUUACAACCUAAACACGUGUGACGACCCUUGAGGUCCGCAUUCUUCUCAACCUUUAUGAGGUUUGGGGCGUGGGACGGAGACUGGUUACUUCCGUGUCCGGCCAUGGGUGGAGCCAUUCUCGUUGGAAAAAAAGUAAAGAAAAGAGAGGAGGAAGAGUUAGUUGAAAACCAAUAUAAAAGAAAGAAAAGCAAAAAAAAAGAGGGGGUGCUAGUAUUUUUGGUGAUAGUAGUGUUACGAUUAGGCACGCCCUCCCUCAGGAUGGGAAAAUACACAGCCAGGACCGUCUGUCCGUCCAUUUCUUCCACUAGUACCACAAGACAUAAGUGCAAUGGAGAAACUCUUGUAUAUUCGCUUGUAUAGGUGUUUAGUCAUAAUCUCUAUAUGUUUGAGUUUGGUGUGAACUUUUCUAAGGGAUUCGGUGUCUUGUACAUAAUUGAGUGGUUUGGUGAUCGAAUUGCAAUUUUGGCAUCGUCAAGUAGGCUUGAAAUGCUAGGCUAUGUAUUUCCUUUCACCAUGAUUCGAGUUCUCUUUGAGUGUGAUUAGUAGAUUUUCUUACGGGCAAGCAAUGUUCAAGUGUGGGGGGAUUUGAUAGCUUGAUUAUUGGUAGCCAUGUUGACCCUAUCUUGACUAGUUUUUGCUCCGAUUUUGAUGAUAUUUCAUGGUUAUAAGUGUCGGUUUGAUCAUUAGUGCAUUUCAUGCUCGUUUCCUCCCAAACGGACCAUUUUGGUUCGUUUCACUUGUUUCUUGGAGUCUUUUCCUUGAUUUCAGGUAUCUGUUGGAUAAAGGGUUCGAAUGCGAAGCCGAUGGUACCUUCCGGAGCAUAAUCGGAGUCUGAAUGAAGAAAUUAUGGCCGAAGGAAGUCGAUCAAGGUUGAUGUUGACUAGUCAAUGAUGUGUCACGGCCGGGGCGNNNNNNNNNNNNNNNNNNNNNNNNNNNNNNNNNNNNNNNNNNNNNNNNNNNNNNNNNNNNNNNNNNNNNNNNNNACUUUAUUUCUGCCCCAGACGUGAUUUCAGAGGGAGAAGACAGAAAAUGACGAACUAAAAGAAAAUUGACGAAGGGGAAAGCGCUGGUGAGCCUAGGAACGCCAUGGGAAUGAAGAUUUCAAGCCAAAUAGUUGAGGAAUCGAAGCCCGACGGAGGAUCAACCUUCUAUUCCGAUGGAUUGGCGGUUUGAAGCUUUCUCUACAUCUUCCAUGGAAAAAUAGGUUUUCUUCUUGUUUGGGUUUUAGACCCGAAACUUAUCGUCAUCCAUGUUCCUGUUUAUUCUGCUGCUUAAUAGUUUCUCAUAGUCCUUAAGAUGAUCCAAAACCCGAACAAGGCCUUUCCCCACAGUCGUUCUCACCUUAAUUUGAUCCGUAGCUGUCAAGUGAUAUAUUUGCAUUCCUCGUUUCCUAUUUCCUUCGGUAGUUGUUCUGUUUUCAUUUUAUAGUUUAGGAUAAAACUGUUUGCAAAUUGUGAUCGACUAACCAGCGAACGAAAGCUGAGUAGUGAAGGCCAAGUGACCCGAGAGAAUUCGACUUUGAGGUAUCUCAGGAUCAUUUGAUUGUGUGGGCUUGAAAAUCCUGAUGUCGGCAUGCACCCAUGCAUUUCAUUUUUUGAUUACUCAGAAACAAGAAGUGGUAGAUGGGAGCAAACUAGGGGCACCCUUUCGAGAAUAAAGGAUGGAGGACGAAGGGGGAACCAGGAAGUUGGUGUUGUGUGAUUGGAGCUUGCAGUCGGAGGCCAUAGUGAAGGGUUUGGUGGUGGCGAGCAAGAGGAGAGAUUGGUGAUGAUGGUUGAGAUGGGUUGGGCCCCUGAGAUUCAUCUAUACUACCCCUACCAGAAUCUUGAUAUGGAUGUUAUUUGUAGUGACGAUCAAUUCGUUAUGUUAAAAGUUUGUUUCCUUAUUUUUUACAUUUCUUCAUGCUCACCAUACGUAUUCUAUUUGUAACAUCCAGUGGAAUAGACUACGCACGCUACGAAAUGUUCAUUCCAACCCAUGGGUGAUGGGCGACUUUAAUGCCGUUACUAAUAAUUCUGAGAAGCUUGGGCAGAAUCCUCCACGAAGAGAAUCCACAGAACCGUUCAAACAAAUCAUUUUCAACAAUCAGCUCAUGGAUUUAGGAUUCAAAGGCCAACAAUUCACGUGGACUAACUACCUAGAGGGUGAUGAUGUGGUCAAACAAAGACUGGAUAGAGCUCUUUCAACAUGGGGACAAUAUUUUGAUAAAGCUACUCUAUACCAUGAGGCGAUGAUUGGACCCGAUCACACUCCAAUCAUGCUAAAUAGAAAAGGAAGAGCAGAUAUGGCUUCUCUCCCCUUCAGGUUUAAUGUGAGGUGGGCAGAUUUUGUGCAAGCCGAGGACAUAAUAAGGGAUGGAUGGAGUGAAGACAUUAAUACACAACAAAAGCUGAUUACCAUCCAGCAAAAACCAAGAGAGUGGAGUAUGAAGAAUGUUAGAAAUGCAGCUAAAGAAAUCAAAGCAACCAAGACAGAGAUCAAAUGUGUACAGGAGAUUUCUAAUGCCAACAAAUACUUUGAUGUCGAAAAGGAAUUGAAGAAGAAAUUGGAGAUCUUGUGGAGGCAAGAAGAGAAGUAUUGGUGCAAAGAGCGGACUUGAAUUGGCUCAGAGCUGGAGACAGGAACACAAAGUAUUUCCAUGCAUCAACCAUCUAGAGGACGAAGCACAAUAGAGUUUCUGUCAUAAAGUUGGAUGAUAAGAGCUUCACUUCAGACAUGGGCAUGAUCAAGAUGCAGGCCCAGUCCUUCUUCCAAAAUCUUUUUACGACGAGACAACCAACUAUGAACCAUGUGAACAUGAAUGACAUCCCGCCCCUGGUUAGCGACCAAAUGAACAACGAGAUGUGCAAGGAGGUAUGUAAUGAAGAAAUUAAACAAGCAGUGUUCGGAAUGGGUGGGAUAAAGCGCCAGGCUUGGAUGGAUUCUUAGGGAUUUUCUUUCAGAAGUAUGGGCACAUAAUUGGGGAUAAGAUCAUAGAGGAUAUCAAGGGGUUCUUGAGAACUACAGCUAUGCCAGAUGGGUGGAACGACACCAACAUUACCCUGAUUUCAAAAGUGCCAAACCCGGAGACUCUUUCCCAGUUUAGACCUAUCAGCUGCUGCAAUUUCAAGUAUAAAAUUAUCGUCAAGAUCUUAGCUACAAGGCUUAAACUCUGGCUACCAGAGGUUUUCAAUGAGCUCCAAAAGGCCUUCACCGAGGGUAGAGCGAUCCAGGACAAUAUCAUAAUUGUGCAUGAGGUUCUUCAUACUUUUAAAGGGAGGUACAAGAGUGGAAAUUGGGACAUGCUACUAAAAAUGGAUAUGAAGAAGGCCUACGACAUGGUUGACUAGGAGGUACUGGACUCGAUUCUGAGGGCCAUGGGUUUUAAUGAGAGGUUGUGUAGAUAGAAUGAGUGUUGUGUUAGAACGGUUCGUUUUUUGGUGCUGGUUGACGGUUAACCCACAAAGCUGUUCAGCCUUUCUAGGGGAUUAGACAAGGCGACCCCAUCUCCCUGAUGUUCGUUAUGCUCCUUACAACUCCUUCCCGAUUCACAAAAGUGUUACCAAAGGGGAAUUUAAGGGUAUCAAGCUCAACAGACACUGCCCUUCCCUGACCCACGCUCUCUUCGCCGAUGAGACCAUUAUCUUUGGAUAAGCAUCGGUGAGUGAGGCACAAAACAUUAUGGCUAUUAUCCAAGACUACGGGUCCCUCAUAGGGCAUGAGAUUAACCUAGAUAAGUUAGCAAUUACAUUUAGCAAGAAUACACCAGGAGCCCUUCAGGAACGAAUUAGGACCACCUUGGGAUUUUUAGCCUCGAUAAGAAUCGACAAGUAUCUGGGUAUCCCUUCCGAAUGGGGUAGAUCCAAAAAAGAUGUGUUCGCCAUCAUCCUCACCAGAAUGUUAAACAUUGCCCAGUCUUGGAAGAGCUAGAUGCUAUCCGCCGGGGGUAAAGAGACGCUCAUUAAAGCAAUCCUUUAGAGCAUCAACAUGAUGUCUUGCUUCCAGUUACCCCACAAAAUGACCAAAUGUAUGAAUUCAAUCCUCAGAGUGUUCUUACGGGGUGGUUCCCUGAACAAGAAGAGGAUUCACUGGAUAAAAAGGGAAAUUCUCACUAAGCUAAAAAGUGAGAGAGGAUUGGGAUUUAAAGACUUCCGACUCUUCAAUCUUGCCCUACUUGCGAAAUAGGGUUGGAGGAUGAUGAAAAAUGAGGACCUAAUGUGGGUCAAAGUUUUGAAGGCAUUGUACUUCCCUUUGACGGGUUUCCUAGAAGCGAAAAAGGGCAAAAAGGCCUCGUAGAUUUGGGCUAGCUUAUGUGAAGCCCGAGAAGUUCUCAAGAUUGGAUCCAUGAAGAAUUUUGGCAAUGGGAGGAAUAUAAAUAUCAUGAACGAUCCAUGGAUCCCCUCUAUCCGGGGUUUCAAGUUGAGUCCUAGGCAGUGGGAACAUGAAUUUGUUUACCAAUGGAUCAAGGAAAGAGGUAAAGAGUGGGACGAGGACAUAAUUUCUGCAUCUACGUCCCAGUUAGAAAAAGAUGUGAUCCUCUGUCUCCCGAUUGGUGACCCCUCCCAACAUGAUAGAUGGGUUUGGGCACCGGACUCUAAGGGAGCAUUCUCAGUUAGAUCGGUGUACCAUUAUGUUCAGGCCUCCUGCUCCACCCAGAACCUGCCCUCCAACCCCGCAUUUACUAAUAAGGACCCGUGGAAAUGACAGUGGAAGCUCUCACUUCCACAAAAGCUUAUUUUACUCCUUUGGAGAAUGACCCAGAAUGCGCUGGCGAUGAAGAAGAACCUUGCCCGACAUAAGUGUUGCCCCUCCCCAAUGCCCUAGGUUUGCAACACCGAAAAUGAAGAUAUUUUCCACUAUUUCUUUCAGUGCAAUCAUGCAAAAAAGGCACGGGCUUCGUCCUUGCCCGAUCUUCUCCUGCCGACUGGGUUCCUAACCUUUCCACUGGGCUCGACGAUAUGUACACCUUGUUAAGAAAUUGAGCUUUUCUCCUGGUGGUGGCUACUUGCUGGUGCAUAUGGAGAGCUAGGAAUGAUUCCACCUUCAGGAUGCGAACACCGGCUGAUGAUGGAACAAAUUUUUGUAUUGAUAAGUGAUGCACUUGAUUUGUCGUGUUCAUCAUCCUCGUUUAAUCGAAAUUUCAAGAAUAUUUGUAUAAUUUUGGAUAGAGGUUUAGGAUGUUUCGUGCAUUUAUAACUUCUAUCUCGAUUUAGUGUCUCACAAUCGUUCAAGGUCCAUUUGAUGUUGUUCCGUAGUGUUUUUGAUCGAUUUUAGACACACAACGAUGUCGGGCAUUAUUCAGAACUGUGUGAUGUGAAAACGAGGACCUAAAUGCAUAUAUGAAUGGAAAAAUCAAGAAGUUCAGGCGAUAUACGGUGUUUGGGGACAAGUGGGAACUAAGACGGAUGAAGUAAGCUGCUCGGAGCGGAUGGUUGCUGAAUUUCAAGGAGAACAUGGCAUGCCCCUUGAGAACACGGUGCGUCCUAUGGAACACGGUGCGUCCUCAAGGACAUGACUGCGUCCAUUUCUCUGGAAGUAACGGCCGAGAAACUGUUUUCAUAGAACAUGCCUGUGUCCUUUUAAAACAAGGUGUGUCCUAUGGAACACAGUCGUGCCCUUUUCUCUGGAAGUUACGGUCGAGAAGUGUUUUUUAGAGAACACAUUCGUGUCCUUUUAGGAACACAACGUGUCCUAAGGAACACGGCAUGUUCUGCCUCCAAGCGGAUUUUCUGAACAAUUUUCCUUCUCCAUUUGGGAAUAGACGAUAUAAAUAACUUGGUUCUUCCUCCUUUGAAGACAAACUUCCUUGGACGAAAUUGAGAGAUUUAUUGAGAUAUUUGAUAGCGACGAGAAGGCAACUUCGAGGAGCUCGGAAUCGGCAAAGGAAUCAACACAGCAAAUCAAGUUCUCGCGAAGAUAGGCAAAAUUAGAUUUUUCAUAAUUCUUUGUGUAAACCUAGAUUCAAUGUCUUCCUCUUCUGAUUUUGAUUUGUCUCUCAAGAUUAUGAGAAGCUAAACUUCUGUUGUUUAGAUUAGAUGAAUCCUAGGUUAAUUCCUAUGAACGAAUAAUUUGAUACGUUUGACGAUUUAUGCGAGUUGGAUGGAUUUCAUCGCGUAGUUGAUUUCGUUUUCGAUUUGUGCUUGCCUGAUCAACUUGAAUGAAUCUCUGUUAGAUUUGUCAUAGACUCGCGGAGCUUGCAUGUCUAGAAUGCCGAUAUCAAAUAACUAGGUUAGAUGUUAACCCUCAUCCGGGAGCGAAUGAACUAGUCUGUCGUGUGAGCAAUUCUAAAUUGGUAAAUCACCUAGAGGGUUUUAGAUCUUUGUCUCGAAAGAGAAGACUAGAAUACUAGAUAGGUAGCAAAUUAGCGGACCCGAAAGUGCAUGAUUUGAUUAGAGAAGAACUGCGACAGUGUAAUGCAUCUAUCCUGUUUCGUUUAAAUCGUGGAAUUUCUCUGGCAUUUGUGAAUUUGAGUUGCCUAGGGGGAUUCGAAAUCUAAGCAGUUUCAUCUUUGAUUGUCUAAACUCUUACUGUGCAGUCUUGCAAACCAUUUACUUUAAAAGAAAAAUUCUUUUUCACUUUGAUUGAUUGAUUGAUCCUCGUGGCACCUAAACCACAUUCAUUGAUCCUCGAUUGAUAUUGAUCACAACUUUGAGUAGGAUACUGAAAUAGACCCUGGGAAGAUUCGACUUGGUUGAUUUAUUAACUGGUUUAUUUUGAUAACGCCUAUAAACAUUCAUCAAUAAGCUGCUAUCCUAUUGGAAUCUUCUGCUAGAGGCCAAUAUGGUCUCAAAUAGGACCAACAUAGCUGCUAGUAUCUCCAAUAUCAUCCCACCGCCUCCACCCUUCCAACAAGAGAUAUACUAUGACGGUUCUUUCAUAGUGGAUGGUCCUGUAACGACUUAUGGUGUCAUCGUGAUAGACAUCCAUAAGAAUAUUAGGAAUAAAUCAUCUGACCAAUUCCAAUAUUCAUCACUGAUUGAAGCAUAUAUUUCAUAAUAAAAACCCCUUGAAAUUAACUAUAGGAUAAUUAUCUAAAGGUACAUGUGUGCUUGUUUCUUUCUUUUUCAUGGAAACUCCCUAUAAGGGGAGUAUACAACAAUGCUUUUAGGAUUAACAUAUAUAAUAACUACUAACUAGAACAUCUAUUUCAAAGACAUAUCUCAUUUGUGCACAAUAAAGCUAUGAAAAGUUGUGCAUAGCAACCGGUUGUAUAGUUCGGGUCAAUUGUCAUUUAUCUAAUAAGCUUAUGGAUAUCGAAGNNNNNNNNNNNNNNNNNNNNNNNNNNNNNNNNNNNNNNNUAAAUAAUGUGAUCCACGUAAUUAAUUAGGAUGGAUGGAUGGAUGGUGUUUCAUGGCUUUGUCACCACUUUGUCUCCCUCUAGUUACUCUCUCCCCCCCUUUAUGUACCCUAAUUUCACGGCAUAUAUGAUUUAGCAUAAAUUGAUCUCCUACCAUUUACUUUUUUUUACAGCCAAGCAAUGAGCUUAUAUUGAUAGAAAUUCUGGCCAUACAAUGCAUAUAAGUAACCGAUAAUCAUUUCUCCGAUAAUAAGGAAAAAGCAAUUAACUUAAAUAUUAUCAUAUUUUAGAUCUUUUUAAAAGUAUUGCUCAUAAUACAUCAGAGGUAAAAGGAAACAAAAAGAUAUACAAUAUGAUAAUUUAAAGCUUUAUGUGCUAUAAUAUGAGCGACGUUAUUAUUUUAAUACGGUAUAGAUGAAAAUAGCGUAAGUAAAUAGUGAAGUAGUAGACGCUGGCAAUACGCAAGUAGGACACCUUCUCUAUUGUCAGGAGAAGAACAAGUCAGCUGCUUUGCAUUUUAUGAUGAACUAGGUUUGAUGGCCACGCAAUAUUGUGAAGACUUUGUCUGAAUUUGGUGUAAUUUCACUUAUUUGUAGGUUAUAUGGUAAUUCUAUAAUUUAAAGAUUUUAGUAUCUGUAAUCAUGUGGCUUAAAUUUCAUUUAUCUCAAUUGAUUCUAUCAUAAGAAUAGAUAAUUAAUCGAUUGAGAGCUGAUGAAAGGGAAAGGAAGUGUCAUAAAUUUUUUUACGGUGUUGGCAUUCAAUCAGCUUCUUUCAAUAUGGAGCAUUAACAAUGAUAUCAUGGCAAAUUGAAAAUCAUGACCAUAACAACAAGUCAAAGAUAAUGUUUUUAACUUGGAAUAAUUCUACGGCCAGUGAUAAUGAAACGUUGCCAGUAAUAGCAGAGCUGACGAUACUGCUGAGUUGAAGUCUGAUAAUUAUAUAAAUUUGAAUAACAAUAUUUUACUGUAAAAUGUUAUUAUGUGAAGUCAUUAUUAUAUUACACUUUCGAUCACAAUUUAAAUACAUAAAAUUUUGAUAAUAUCGUAACUCAAAUAUAAUAUGUAAAAAUUAAUGCCAUCCAACUAAAAAACAACAUUAAUGAGGGAAAAAAUAUACUUUAAGGUUUAUAUAAAUAAUUACAAACGAAUAUAAAAUAAGAGAAGAAUAGCAAAAAAAAGAGAGAAUUUAAAAACGAAAAUGAAAAUACCUUAUUUGACCGAGCCGGGUCGGGCUAAACUCGGUCGGGUUUCCAUCUCUAUAAUGACUAAUAUGCAUCAUUUACUCGAGUUGUGUGUUUGAUAACCUGGAAGUCUCAGGUUCGAAUCUAGCACACCUUAUGAAAUGAACACCAAUGUUAUGUUUACUUUAUAUUUUCUAUCUUAUAUUGACCGAGAGUCGAUCUACUAUAACCAAAAAAAAAACNNNNNNNNNNNNNNNNNNNNNNNNCUAAUAAAUACAGUUAUCUCGAUAUUAUAUCAACUUUCUCAUAUAAAGUUUUAAUAAAGUCACAAUGUAAAUAAAAAAUAUCAAGACGUCAUUCUACUUAAACAAUAUGAAUGAAGAAUAAAAUAUGUUUUAAAUAUUUUAUAAAUGGUUAUAAACAAAAAAUCAAUUUUAAGUGAGAGUGAAAAAAGGGAGAUAAAAUUCUGAAAAAAAUAAGAAAGAAAAUAAAUAACUUUCAUUUGCCACUCAUCUUUGCUUAAACCCAACUCAUUGUAACUGUAAAUCAUAAUUCAUAUGAUAAGUGGAAUGUGUAAUCUUGACCACUUUAUUAUUCGGAUCAAAAUUUAGAUUUCAAUUAAAUAUAUUUUGAGAGCUAAUUUUUUUCAUUUUCAUUCAAAUUUCAUUUCACAUCCUCAUUUACAAAUGAAUUUCUAAUUGUAAUAUAAAGGAAUGAAUUGGAAACAGAUCUAAAAAGUUAUGAGUGCGUAAUAGCUCAUUAAUCGAGCGUCCUUGCACCAAAGAUGAACGGGGCUAGGCGAUCUAUCGAAGUUGUGGGAUGUAAAAAUGCAUCGGUAGGGGUGCGUUCCGCCUUAGGGGGAAGCACCCGCGCAAGCGGGUGUGGACAUUGUGUCACACCCAAAAAUUGGUUUAACCCUGCUUCACAUUCACAAGGGAGCUACAUAUGAGUUAAACCUGUCGACGGUGAAGUAACACCAAGCUUAUGAGCUUAUUAUCCUAGGUCGGAACAAGUUGAUAGGAUCCCCUUUUUACGUCCCCAUGUCGACAGCAAAGGGCAUGGAAAAAGGAAAGAGAAAGAUGGGGUUUUCUCGCUUUAGGUAUAGCGAGUGGCCCCUGGCGGGUAGCCCGCAACACAGGAUAAUAGCUCAGUGGUAGAGCGCGCCCCUGAUAAUUGCGUCGCUACAAGAAAAAAGGUCUAUUGAGACGGUUUUAUAACAACACAUAAAUAAAUGUCGCAAAAACAGGGACUAAAUGUAGUUUGUACGACAUAUUUCCGAAUGUCGCUAGUAUGUAAUUUACUACGACAAUUUGUAUGACACUUUGAUAUGUCGAUAGAAGUUUACGUUUGUUGUGUCAUUUUAUUGUACUUAAAAUGACACAUAGCUAUAUGUGGUUCUAAACUCAUCCGGCAGUACAUUGUUGUGACGUUUACAGUGACAUUUGUAUACAUUCGUGGAAGUUUAAGAUUUUGCAACAUUUUACUAUGUCAUUUAUAAAUGUCGAUGAAAGUUUAAAUUUUUUUAUGGAAUUACUUCGUUUUAAAAUUAUCCGGCCGUUUACUUUUGCGACUUUUAUGGUGGCAUUUGUAUAUGUCGGUUAGGAUUUGAAUAUAUACUUUACUAAUUAUUAAUUCAACAUGUUGAAAGUUAAUUAAGGUAAGCAACGAGUUACCUCAAAAAAAGAUUAAAAAAAUAAAUUAUACCAACAAUUAAUAGAUGAAAAAUAUAAAACUUAUGUUCUAACUUGUACCUAAAAGAUAGCUUUUUUCACGUACAAUUUUGAGGAAAUAAUAAUUAUACAAUAGAAAGUGAGAUCAUGCUUCCGAAAUAAUGAAUUAUCUCGUUGAUAUGAACAGCCGACAAUAUCUCCCAUUAUUUAAUUCUAUUUUAUCUCAACAAAUCGGUACUUCCUUUUCAACAAAUAUUCAUCAUCUUUUAAAUUCUGAGCUUUCUGUACAGUUUUCUUCGGUUUCCUUAUGAUAUAAAUGUUUGUUAAUUUGGUUCGGUCUGUGUAGAGGAGCUGGUUUUGAUUUGUUGUUUGUACUAUAUUUGAGAUUGCUUAAAACUGGGAUAAAUAUAUAUAUUGUAAAAGAUACACUUACGUUGACAUAAAAACACGUCGUAAGAAACUAUCGCUUGUGACACAUAAUAUGUCGCUGUAAACGUCGUAAGAACAUGUCACCAACGUUUUGAUAUGUGUCGGGGGAAAGGUGUCGGUUAAAAUAUGAAACGUCCUUGAUCUAAACGACAUUUAAGCGACACAUUAUUAUGUGUCGGGAUAAACAUUUUAGCGACAUUUGUACAAUAUCACAAUAGGCAUUUUUUCUUAUUAUCGUUAUGAACUGUAAAAAUUCUCAUUCAUAUGAAUAGUUUAAUAUACUCAUCAACCCCGACUAAGUGAGGAGUCACGGUUCACGUGAAUAGUAAAUUACAAUACCUUCUCCUUGAAUUUUUUAUUCUAAUUUGUGAAACUUCACCGCUUAAGGCCGACGACUAUAUGAGUUAUUGUCCACUCUAAGUGAUAUGAUAUUGAACAGAUAGCUACCCUCAAUGAAAUCGUAUUUAUCUAAGCAAUGAAAUUGUGUUGAUGUAAGCAGUCUUACUAUGUGACUAACUAUGGCAGUACGUACGUGUAGAAAGAAUGGCAGUGUCCAAUUACAUGCGUUUGGACUGGAGAUGUCACACGAUCGAGUGCAUGUAAUCUUUGUAUAAUAUAUUUACCCCGAUACGUACGUACGUAGGUGGCAUUCGUGAAGGAUGAUCGAUGAAUUAUUAUGUAUAUCUAAAAUAAAAAGGGAUGAUAUGAUAGACCCACUAAAUCCAACCAAACCCCAAUACUAGCUACUAGCAAUAUGGGAAACUAAAUUAUAUAAAAUACAGAGAAAUAUAAUUAUAUAUUGGGAGAUGUCUUGUUUCUCCUUGCUUCAUGCCGACAUGCUUUUGACUAGGGUUUCCUUGUCUGUUGUUUUCCCCACAUUUAACUCUGUGUGUUCUUUUGCUUCUUCUGGUCAACAGAAAUUAACCACUAAUUAAUUAGUAGAGACGACCCUUUUAUCAUUUUAAUUAAAAAUGUCGUUUUAAAAGGAAAUUAAAGGAAUAUCUGAUAUAAUUUUAUAUUACGGUAGCUAUAAAAUUUUAAUUUAGACUUGAAAAAAUUAAAUAUAUUGAUUUUAACAUUUGAUUAAGUAAAAGUAUCACUCUAUAUAUCACAAACGUCAAUUGGCUAACAAUUAUCCCAUUUUGGUGGGGUAUCGUAACGUUUAUCUAUUUGUGUAAAUAAAUAAAUAGAAGAGUAGAACUUCAAAUACCAUAAACCAAAUUACAAAAUCAUCUAAACUAUACAUAUAAUUUAGGAUUUGAGAUAAAGAAAUAAAAUAACAAAGAGACUCUUCCUAACUCCCUUUCGGUCCUGACACGACCAAACAUCGAAUUAAACUUAAAAUUAUCCUCAACUAAAUUUAAAAAUUUAAUAAAUAUAUCUUUGAAAUUAAUGGUUUAGAUCGAAUAGAGAGUGAUGCCGGACCCAUCCAACCACCCCUGAUUCCGCCGGUGCAGUACUGUGGCAAUUUUUAAACAAUAGUGACCAAACAAGCAGAGAGGCCUACGUACAAAGACCAAAGUGAUCGCUGGUGUCUUCUUGGAGGUACGUUGGUACUGUUGUGAUCUAUACUAAAUUUACAUACAAUCACAUUCCCCACUUAGCUAAUACCAUAUAUAAUUUAGCAUUUUGUUGUUAUACUUAUGUAUUGAAUUUUUUUUGUAUUCGUUUUGUUUUUAUUUAAUUUUUAGUGUUAGGUUUGUUGUACUUAUUUUUAUAUUCGGUUUAGAAUUAGGGUUGUGUGUUUGAUUUUUGUACUCGGUUUAGGGUUGUGUACUCUUUUUGCUUGUACUUGAUUUUUAGUGUUAGGUUUGUUUGUACUUGAUUUUUAUACUCGGUUUAGAGUUAUGACUUAUGCACUUGAUUUUUUGUUGUCAUGGGUUGUGUACUCGGUUUGCUUGUAUGUAUUUGGUUUUUGUACUCAGUUUAGGGUUAGGGUUAUGUGCUUGAUUUUUUGUUGUUGUGGUUUGUGUACUCGUUUUGCUUACUUUGAUUUUAGUGUUAGGUUUGUUUUACUUGAUUUUUAUACUCGGCUUAGAGUUAGGGUUAUGUACUUAUUUUUGUUGUUGUGGGUUGCGUACUCGUUUUGCUUGUAGUCUUGAUGUUUAGUGUCAAGUUUGAUGUACUUGGUUUUUGUAAAUGCCAGAGAUGGCACCCAGACCAUAUUUCCAGCGCCGCCCUUCUUCUUUCUAUUAUCUAACCCUUAAAAAUUCCCCACAAAUUUAAUCAUCUACCUCUAAAAUAUUUCAUUAAACCCAACUUUCUCACUCAACAAAAUCAAAUCCGAUCGACGUCGCCACCCUCGCUACGGAAGUGGAAGAUUCAGACCGACGAUGGCCGAGGUGGUGAUGAAGAUGCAUGGAAGAGUUGAGGAAAAUGAAAGUGGUGGCAGAGAAGAUACUAAUCCACCACAUCCUCCAACCGCCGAUGAUCACGCCGCUUAAUGGAUGGUCUGAAUUUAUUCGUCGCAGCAAAUACUCCAUUUGUUAGCCGACAAUCUGGACUCAACACUUUUUACCAUAUAAUUUGGUUCUUAAAAUUAAAUUUUUUUAAGGUUGUAGGUGAUAUUCGGUGUUCAGGGUAUAAUAUUAGGGGUUUAGAGUUUAAUUUUUAAGUUUUAAUAAUUUAUUAAUUUUAAUUUAUAGUAAAAAAUUUAAAUUUUUAAUACGAUUUAGAGGUUUGAGUUUAUGAUGUAAUGUUCGAGGGUUAACAUUUUGUGUUUAAUUAAAAUGUUAGCGUCAUUCUUAUAAUUAACAUUUAUUUUUUAAAUUUGAAAUCUUAGAAAUAUGAGAUUUUUAUAUAAAGGAUAUCCAUACCAAAGUAUCCAAAAAUAUAAUUGCUGAUUUAACUGGAAAUAACUUGGCAGCUGUGUUCAAUCAUAUAUCCACGAAUGCAAUUUCUUUUAGGCGAUAUGGAUUAUAUUCAGGUUUACUCUUUUCAUUGUUGGGCCCUUUCACGAUUAGAUGAAGGAGGUAAUUUUAUGGUGAAAAUUUAUAAAUUUUGCUUCCGAGUUUGAUUCUGUCAAGGAGUUUUGCCUCACACCUUUUGUUGGCAGAUUUGGUUAGAACGCAAUAAUCAGAUGUUUUAUGAUGUUAGGUGUUUNNNNNNNNNNNNNNNNNNNNNNNNNNCUUAUAAGAUUACUAGUGAUGUCGUGUUUUAGUUGAAAAUGGUCAAUCUGUUUUUAAGCCAUAUAUUGUCGAGAUGACGCAUUUUUAUCAUUUUAUGAGAGAAUCUAAUUGGAGGAGGUUGGGUUGUAUGAGGUUUACUAUGAAGUUGCCUUCUAUAUAUAAUUUUUUUCUUUAUAAUUUUUCUGUGGGCAGCCAUACUUUGAAGGUGCCUUCUUUCUACAAUUUCUUUUUUACUAUUGCUAUUUUGCGGAAGAUGUUAUUUUUAUGUAUAGGUAAAUAUCAUUGAUAAAAAAAAUCCACGGAGCUAGCUAGCUAAAAUAUUAAAUUUGAUGAAGUUUCCUAGCUAACUAAAGUUUGAACCGAUCGAAUUUCGAAAAUGAGGUCGGAAUAAUCUUUUUAUCUUAUAAUUAUCAUCCAUCUUAUUGAAUACAUUUGAAGAAAAGGUGAGGAAAUUAAAGCUACCUGCAGACACAGCAAGGUGAAGAAGUAAAGAGACGACGUGGUUUUGUUUCUCUUUUUUGUUUUGUUUUGUUUUAAACUAAAUUAGUGAGUGCAGUUGCUGGCUGUAGACAUUAAUCUUAUAUAUUAAGUAUUUUUAAUUUUAUAAUUUUUACAUAUUUNNNNNNNNNNNNNNNNNNNNNNNNNNNNNNNNNNNNNNNNNNNNNNNNNNNNNNNNNNNNNNNNNNNNNNNNNNNNNNNNNNNNNNNNNNNNNNNNNNNNNNNNNNNNNNNNNNNNNNNNNNNNNNNNNNNNNNNNNNNNNNNNNNNNNNNNNNNNNNNNNNNNNNNNNNNNNNNNNNNNNNNNNNNNNNNNNNNNNNNNNNNNNNNNNNNNNNNNNNNNNNNNNNNNNNNNNNNNNNNNNNNNNNNNNNNNNNNNNNNNNNNNNNNNNNNNNNNNNNNNNNNNNNNNNNNNNNNNNNNNNNNNNNNNNNNNNNNNNNNNNNNNNNNNNNNNNNNNNNNNNNNNNNNNNNNNNNNNNNNNNNNNNNNNNNNNNNNNNNNNNNNNNNNNNNNNNNNNNNNNNNNNNNNNNNNNNNNNNNNNNNNNNNNNNNNNNNNNNNNNNNNNNNNNNNNNNNNNNNNNNNNNNNNNNNNNNNNNNNNNNNNNNNNNNNNNNNNNNNNNNNNNNNNNNNNNNNNNNNNNNNNNNNNNNNNNNNNNNNNNNNNNNNNNNNNNNNNNNNNNNNNNNNNNNNNNNNNNNNNNNNNNNNNNNNNNNNNNNNNNNNNNNNNNNNNNNNNNNNNNNNNNNNNNNNNNNNNNNNNNNNNNNNNNNNNNNNNNNNNNNNNNNNNNNNNNNNNNNNNNNNNNNNNNNNNNNNNNNNNNNNNNNNNNNNNNNNNNNNNNNNNNNNNNNNNNNNNNNNNNNNNNNNNNNNNNNNNNNNNNNNNNNNNNNNNNNNNNNNNNNNNNNNNNNNNNNNNNNNNNNNNNNNNNNNNNNNNNNNNNNNNNNNNNNNNNNNNNNNNNNNNNNNNNNNNNNNNNNNNNNNNNNNNNNNNNNNNNNNNNNNNNNNNNNNNNNNNNNNNNNNNNNNNNNNNNNNNNNNNNNNNNNNNNNNNNNNNNNNNNNNNNNNNNNNNNNNNNNNNNNNNNNNNNNNNNNNNNNNNNNNNNNNNNNNNNNNNNNNNNNNNNNNNNNNNNNNNNNNNNNNNNNNNNNNNNNNNNNNNNNNNNNNNNNNNNNUCUAAAUCCAAUUUCCAUCUUUAAUUUAAUUUUUCGUCAUUGCUGCUUUCUCCUAAUUAAAGCUGAAAUAUAAUUGCCAUCAUGAUGAUAUGAUAUAUAUUUUGUACUAAAAAAAAUUGGGUGGUUGGGUCGGCAUACCCACUGAUUAACCUUUUGACAUAUAUCGAUUAAUUAAAAGGAUCUCUAUCUGUAUUUAAAGGGUAAUGUUUUACUUUCUCUUCAUGGAAAUUAUUAUAUGACUUACUUACUGAUCUUCCUAGCCACCUCCACUCAUAAAUAAUGAAACAUGUAGGCUCAGCCAGAGUAUAUAUCCGUAUAUACAAACCGCAAUUAAUGUAUGUGUAUAAACCUGGCUAGGUAGUAGUUAUAUAUGCUUAAUUGGCCCGAAAGAGAUUGAUUAACAUUUGUUUUUACAAUUAAUUACUUGGUGUUAUAUUAUUGUUCUCAGUCGUGUAAGGUCGUAAGUGGCCACCGUGUUUUAAAUAGAUCCAUAAUGACAUGAAUCUUUUCACCAUAUAUCGUCUGAUAAAUACGUAAUUUAGACAAGAUUAUGGGCAUUUAAAUGACAGAUGAACCACCUAAAUUUAGUUAAUCAUUUGGGGUUCAUUUUAUUUUUAUUAAUGCUCCUAUUUUAUCUUUGCAUUUGUUAUGUGAUUUAUUUGAAAUUAUUCUAUCUCAUUUAGUUAUGUAUGAAAGAUAAACGCUUCCUACCUAGCUAGACUUAAAAAAAAUAGAUAAGCACGUGCACCUAUCAAACAAUAUUUUUCCUUAGCUACUUACCCAAGAAAGCCCACUUAGCCCGUCCAUAUGUUUUGUCAACUCUAUCAGUCUAAAUAUUUCCGAAAAGCAAAAUCAAAAUUCUCGCCCAAUUUUUGCCUGGAUGAUAGUCACGCGCCAAUUAUCUUUCUCUCACACGUGCACAAAUUCCAAUUACUCUGUUUCCUUAAAACUAUCGAACUGCAAGAACGCUGUUGAGGUGGAGAUUGGUUUUCAGACGGAAAUUCAGAGGUACCAGCCUACCGAGUUCGUUUUCAAUUAAAAUUCACGAACGAACUAAUAUAUAAUUUAUGCAAAUUUUCUUACUGCUUACAAUUUGUAAAUACAUUAUAAACGUGUUUCACACGAAAUUUAAUUUAAUUUAAUUGAAGAGUUGGGUUCAAUUGCUUAAUGGGUGCGUGUAGGAUUGAAUACUAAUAAAAAGUCCAACUUCUCACAAAAGAAUGCAAGUGAUGGACCAAAUUAAUAAAGGGUAACUAACAUCAAGCAAGCUUCUUUAUAAAUAUGGAACAAUAUAAUAUACUCUCCACCAACACACACACACAAACAACUCUCUCCCCCCCUCUCUCAUUAAUUCUUCUUGCAAAACCAGCAGCUCUCUUAGCUUGCUGUUUGUAGUACUGUUUCUUCCUCCAGAACCAAAAUAAGUAAUGGAAAUGGAGGCAAGGAGAGUUCACAAUAAGGGCACUAGUGGUGAGGGUAAUAAUAUUAUUGAUCAUGGGGAAGUAGUAGAGAGGAGCUAUGUUGAUUGGAGAGGCAGACCUUCCAACCCUCACAAGCAUGGUGGAAUGAGAGCUGCUUCUUUUGUUCUUGGUAUUCAUUCAUCUUUUCACAAACACACAACCUCCCCCCAACCCAAUAUACAUAUUUUUUAUACACACUUAUUUCAUGUCAACAAGUACUGCAUGUUAUUCUUUCUUACUAUUAUAAUUCUUUUACAUGGGGCUUUUCUAUGGCUAAGGGCCGAGUUGAAAGUCUUCAUCUUUCUUUAAUUGGCAGUUUAUAUAUAUAUAAAGCCAGCUAUCUUUCCUCUACUUGAUCUCUACUUUUCUUAAUUCAUUCGAAAGGGAAACAAUUUUUUGAAGAAAGCUUGAGAUUCUGAACGUUAACGUACCCUUUUCUCUCCGACUCUGUCAUAUCUCUGGUUAAAAAAAGUAGAUAAGUUUGUGUGUUCUUUCUACCAUACACGCAUGUGCACAUUUAAAUACAGUAUCAACGUACGGUAGUGAUGGUAUGUAGGUGUUGUGGAUGGGAUUGUUUAUUAUAUGUGUUUAUUCAUAAGAUUAGAAUAAUAACAAGCUAAUUAAGUGUGUGUGUGGGUGGGCAGGGUUACAAGCAUUUGAGAUAAUGGGGAUAGCAGCAGUAGGGAACAACCUAAUAACAUAUGUGAUGAAUGAGAUGCACUUCUCACUGUCAAAGUCAGCAAACAUUGUCACUAACUUUGUUGGGACAAUCUUUAUCUUGGCACUUGUUGGUGGCUACCUCUCUGACUCUUAUCUUGGUUGUUUCUGGACCAUGAUCAUCUUUGGCUUUGUCGAGCUUUCUGUAAGCCCCCCUCUCUUAAUUACUCUUCUUAUUUACAUUCUUAUCAUCCUCAUCAUUACAUCUUUAGUUUAUUCCUCUCCACUUGCUAAUUAUUUAUGUAGCAGAAAGACAAAUGUCAUAUUUUCAUGGCUUCCUCACAAGAAAUUAAUACAAAAAGGAGAAGGAUUUAAUCAUUGCUACAAGAUAUGUGAAGAUUGUUCCUUGUUGUUGUUCUGACUUUUCAUUUGGAUAAUAAAUAACAGGGGUUCAUAUUGCUGUCAGUCCAAGCUCAUGUUCCACAACUGAAGCCACCAAAGUGCAACCUGGAGGAUGAACAUAAUUGUAUGGAGGCAAAUGGGUUUAAGGCCGUAAUCUUUUUUGUGGCCCUCUACUUAGUGGCAUUAGGGAGUGGGUGUGUUAAACCAAACAUGAUUGCACAUGGGGCAGACCAGUUCCAUUUCCAUCACAAUAAUCAUAAUCAUAACAAUCAAGAAGAAGAAGAAGAAGAAGAUGUAAUUACUAGUGGAAGAAGAAAGCAGGAGUCAAAGAAGCUGUCCACUUACUUCAACUCUGCCUAUUUUGCAUUCUCAAUUGGUGAACUCAUAGCUCUCACUCUCCUUGUGUGGGUCCAGACCCACUCUGGAAUGGAUGUUGGCUUUGGUGUCUCUGCUGCUGUUAUGGCCAUGGGUUUGAUCUCCUUGGUCUCUGGCACUCUCUAUUACAGGAACAAACCCCCUCAAGGCAGCAUCUUUACUCCUAUUGCUCAAGUAUACUACCUACCCCUCAACUCUUAUCAAUGGAUUCAGCCAAUUAUCAGUCUCUAAAUUGAAUUAUCACAAUAACCUUCACAUCUCAAUAACUGGGUUUAUGUUGAUUUUUAUACUAUUUAUCAACAUGACCACUCAAACUAAAGCUCUCAAAUGAGCUGAAAAAUUGCAUAGUUUUUAUAAAUAAUGUGCAUGGAUAGGGGCCUAUCAGGAUUCAAAACGAAAACCUCUUGAUUUUUUUUUACUAUCCGUCAACAUUAUAUAUGUUCCUGGUUUUAAUCCUCCUAAUGUUUCAGGUAUUUGUGGCUGGUUUCUUUCCAAUCACAGGGGUCAUGUUGUUUUUUAUACUUAUUAUCAACCGUUGCAUAUCCCCUCAAACUAAAGCUCUUAGAUGAGCUGAGUUUUGCACCGUUUCUGUAAGUUAUGUGCACUGACACGGCCUAUCAGAAUUCAAAACGGAAACCUCUCGAUCUUCAUGUCAAGAACUGAUCCAUCCCAAUAACGCUACUUGUUAGGAGAGGUUCCAUGUUGUUUUUUUUAUAUUAUUCGUCAAAAUCAUGUUCCUGGUUUUAAAUCUUCCUAAUCUUUCAGGUAUUUGUGGCUGCUUUCCUAAAGAGAAAGCAAAUCAACCCAUCCAACCCACAUAAUAUACAACACUCCAGAAGCCAAAUUCAGGAGCUAAAUGCUGUGAAGACACAAAGAUUCAGGUACCUUUCAAAUUAUAAUUCAACCCCCCUUUUUUGGAAGAUGGUAUGAGAAUUAGCAUAAUUUUGACAAAAUAUUAAUGCAUCUGCAGGUUCUUGGACAAGGCAUGCAUUAAAGCUGAAGAUGGGAGUGGUAAUAGUGAGAGUCCAUGGAGGUUGUGCAGUGUGAGUCAAGUGGAACAGGUGAAGAUACUGAUAUCAGUGCUUCCAAUAUUUGCAUGCACAAUUGUGUUCAACACCAUUCUAGCCCAACUCCAGACAUUCUCAGUCCAACAAGGCAGAGCAAUGAACACAAAACUUGGACAUAACUUUGAAAUCCCUCCAGCUUCCCUCCAAGCCAUCCCUUACAUCAUCCUCAUUGUUUUGGUCCCACUCUACGACGCUUUCUUUGUCCCCAUGGCAAGGAAGUACACAGGCCACGAAUCAGGGAUCACACCUUUGCAACGAAUAGGCUCCGGCCUGUUGCUAGCCACCUUCUCCAUGGUGUCAGCUGCUGUCAUGGAGAAGAAGAGGAGGGAUCAUGCAGAAGCCAGUGAUGAUCCAAACAACAAGCUGUCCAUAUUUUGGAUCACACCACAGUUCCUUAUAUUUGGGUUGUCAGAGAUGCUGACUGCUGUUGGUUUAAUUGAGUUCUUCUACAAGCAGUCUUUGAAAGGGAUGCAAGCAUUCUUGACAGCAAUCACUUACUGCUCAUAUUCAUUUGGGUUUUACCUCAGCUCCAUAUUGGUGUCUCUGGUCAACAAAGUUACCUCAGAUUCUUCAAGCCAUGGUUGGCUGAGUGACAAUGACCUGAACAAAGAUAGGCUGGAUCUUUUCUAUUGGAUGCUGGCAGUUCUGAGCGGCGUCAACUUUUUCAACUAUCUGUUUUGGUCCAAGUGGUAUCAUCCUCCUUCCACAUCUGAGGUCAACUUCCAACUAACUUUCAACUCUUCAAAAGACAUUGGAGAUGAAGAUAUACCAUAAAGGAGAUGAGGGAAAUGGAGGUGUGGUAGGAUACACACCAAUAGAAAAACUAAGACACUACUAGGUGGUGAUGGAUGAGAAUUGAGUGGGGGUUGAGUUUGUAUUCUUGUUUCUUCUUCUACUAUAAAUAUAAGGAAUAUAAAUAGGGUUGUAACGUAAUGCAGUAAUGGUGGAAGGGAAAAUCUCUCUUUCAAUUAUGAUUGUUAUGGUGAAUGCGCCAUAUGGAAGGGGACCAUCAUCAUCAUAAUGAGGCAUAUAGCUCUCUAUAGUCUCUACCUAGCUAGCUAGCUAGCGAGUUAAUAAUCUCUCUGUAAAGAUUUUGCAGCAAUUCUAAUGAAACCAAGCAACUCUGUCUCUCAGAAUUGCUUUCUCUCCAAACAUACAAUUUAUCCCAACCAAUUAAGGGAAUCGAUGAAUGAGGAAACAGUGUAACAAUAUUCUGGCAUUUGGACUGAAAGUGAAAAGGAAAAGAAAUAAUGAGUAGAUAGAUAUUCCCUGAAUCGUGGGGGGUGGAGGGGGAGGGACAUCAUCUCCUAAGUCAUGUGAAUGACACAGAAAGAAAGAAAGAAAGAAAGGGAAUAUAGUUGCAGUAGCAGUUGUGUGUAUAUGUGGUUCACGAGCUGAGCUUUUCUGCCUAAGGUCCCAUCUCAAAUUCAGAUGCAAUACUUUUAUUGUCUAUCGUGUGGUAUUUUAAUAAUUUAAAUUGUUGGGAUAAGGUUCAAAUAGAUUUUAUUAUUUUAAAAAAGAUUAGAUUUGUAUAGCUUCACGUGAUAAGUCAUCUGAAAGGAAUGUGGGCUACCGGAAUUUGAAAUGGAGAUCUCUCGGUCUUUUAACACUCCGAUACGAUGUCAUGAACCAUUACAUCUCAAUAACUUGAGUCGUUGGGAGAGGAUUCUGAUUGAUAUUAUAUUAUUCACUAUCACACCCUCUAAAAAGGAAGGCUUUCAUAAGACUUGAGGUUUGCACAACUUUGAUUAGUCAUGUGCACAGAUUUGGGGAUAGCCCCAUAUUCGAAACGGAGAUAUCUCCGUCUUUUCAGGCUUUGAUACCAUAUCAUGAACUGUUACAUUUCAAUAACUCGAAUUGUUGGGAGAGAUUCUAAUUGAUAUUUAUAUUAUUCACUACCUCCGAUACGAUAUCAAAACCCGUUAUAUUCCAAUAACUUAAAUUAUUAAAAAGAACUAAUAUAAAUUUUAUAGUAUUCCAAUAACAAACACCCUCUAAUCAACUUCAUUAACAAAUUGAGUAGCUGUGUUUGAUGGAACAGGUAAAACAGCCUCCAAACACCUAUAGUCGUCUUCCCGUUUAGUUCAUGAAUGUGGAACACAAACAACGAUCAUCGUAUAUAUCUCCCCAUAUAAUCCCUCAACUCAACUAGCACAAUAAAAAAAGUAAGAGUUGACACACUGUACACCAACAUUCAAAGACGUCUUCGAUUAAAUUUAAAUUAUAAUUAUUAAUGUAAUUACUAAUUGAGCUAACAAACCGUAUAUACUUUGUAUAAAUUGUAUACAAACCCCAUACAUAAUGCCUACGUUUUAUUUGUAUGAAUUAUGUAUGAACCUCGUACAGAGCAGGUUUACUUUGGGUGAACUAUGUUUGAACCUCGUACAUACAGAGUGUACAUAUUCACUUUAUAUUCCCUCUUCUAAUUUUGAACCUCCUUCAUUCGAUUGUGCAGCUGCAUGUAUCUGUGGCUUGUAUCCUCCUUGACCUUGGGUGUAUGCAGGUCUAAUGUUUCCUGUCCCCCUUGCUCCUGGUUGUGGCAUAGGCCUAGGGGUGACUCCUAGAGGGAAGCCAUUCUUAAAGAAACACAUUUCUACUAUGUGAUUUUGCAUUUUGCAGAAGGUGCAAAAUAAAGUUCUUCCCUUCUGAGGUGUUGGUCGAAAGCUUUCCUGCUGUCCUGCAUUACGCUUGCUAAUGGAGAGAGCAUCGCCAUAGGUUCAUUAGAACCCUUGAGCUGUGUUCCAUACAACUAUCUCUCAUGUUGUAUCAUUCGUUGAACAACCUUGUCAAUAUUUGGAAGUUCAUCACCAAACAACACCUGAGUGCGAGGUCCAGCAAAAUUUUCAUUGAGACCUCUCAGAAAAUGUAUGACAUUGUUGGUGUCUUCAUAAAGAUAUACUUUCUCAUUUGUAGAGAGGUUGCUGGUUGCAGUGCAGUCACAGUUGUAGAGAGGUUGAUAAUUUCUCAGCUCAUCUCUGAGAGUGAUAAUAGAUCCAUAGUAUUCAGUCACAGUUUGAUUACCUUGUUUCAGAUUUGAAAGCUGCUCAAGGAUUUCUGCAAUCCUGAUCACAUCACCUUGGCCAUAUCGUGCAUUCAAGCUUUCCCAGGCAUCUUGUGCGUUCUUCAAUCCCAUGAUGGUCUUUCUGAUGCCUGGUUCGACUGAUUGUUGCAACCAGCUCAGCACCAUGAUGUUGCAUCGAGUCCAGGGCCAGAACAUUGGGUCUACAACCUCUGGUUCUCCAAUGCUUCCACCAAUAAAUCCAACCUUGUUCUUUGCUCCAAGUGCAUUGUGUAUUGUUCUGCUCCAGUCAGUGUAAUUGCUCGUGGUGAGCUUUUCGGUAACAAGGGACUGACCAGGCUGCUCACUACCAUGAAGGUAGUAAGGAUCAGCUAGAGGGUACUCUGCUGCAGCCAUGGUGAUUCCUAAUACCGCUCUGAUACCAUGUUAUUUCUCUUAGAGUUUUAGGGGAAAAUUUGCUCUACAUUCUUAUUCAUCAAUCAUUUGUUCAUAUACAGGGGGGAGGAAAGGAAGACGACAAUUUGCACAGCGUAUUAGCUGGCUGAGAGCAUCAAAGGCUCUAACGGAAAUGUGCAGAAAACGCAGAGAAGUGUAAGGACGAUGAGCUGGGGAUGAUGAUUGCAACGGUGACGUUUCAGCCUUAUCUUCGCUGAUUCUUGAGCGCACCGUUUCAUUUAAAUGGAGCGUUGCUGAUGCUUGAACGCAUCGUUUCAAUUAGGAGACAAGUCGCGGAAUUUGGCGGGAAAAGAAAAGGUUCUUUUCAUCCAAUACCCUUCCCCAAAUUACAGAGCUUAUUAGGGAUGGGAGAAUCGCGAAUUGCCGAUUUUGAGAAAGACAUGGUAGAGUUUCCUUUCCCAGCUCCCCCGAUUGAAUAGAACCGUUAAGAGCAUUAGCACUUUCCUUUUAUGUCCUCCGAGACUUUUUCGCCACAGCUUGCCAAGGCCCUUCCGGCUCCGGCGACCGUAGCCGUUGACGGGGCUGCCAGCGGCGGGAUUGACUAAAUUCAUAUUGCUAAUAGCUGGGGCCGACAGGGUAGGAACAAGUUUGCAAGGGCAGUUCUCAGCUUUGUGGCCAACUUUCCACAAUCCAAACAGAAACAGGAAAAAUUCUCAUAUUCGACCACCUGCCAAAAUCCAUCAAUAAAGACCCCCUAAGGCAAUGGUUCUGCCAAAUUAACUUCAAUGGCGAUCCUGGAAAAUUUAUCCCCCGUCGAAUUCUCAGUACGAGAGUCCGAACGCACAAUACAACCGAUCGAAUUACCCAAACCAUUGAGAAUAUCCUGGUGAUAAUACUGGUAGGGAAACCGUGGGAAACGAAUCCAAACGACCAUCUUUGCCGGAAGAGCAUCAGACACACGAAACUAAAAAUCCCACGCAAAAACCACCAAAUAGUGAUCAAGAAUGGUCCAAGGGCCCCGGAGAAAGCCUGGAAAUGAUCCUCACAGUCAUCAAGAAUAGCCAAGAAGAAUUAUUAUUCAAAAUCCACCAUACGAAAUCGAUCUGUCGGCUUCCACAUCACUCAGAGACGAUUGUACAUAUAAGGGAUAUCUACCUGCUUCCCAACAAGAUGAAUCACAAGAGUCUGAUGCUUUGAUUCACAAAGCUUAUUCCGAAAAGGAUCGGAUGUAUUCAAAUACUGAUCUCCAUUUUGACGAGUCAUGAAAAUUUAGAGGAUAACUGUCGGUCUUUUUAUCAAAAUCAUUAGAUAUUCAUUUUAAGCAAUUUGAUAAUUUAUUUAAAAUAAAAAAUUGAAGGGUCUAGAUUAAAUAAGCGAAUAAGUCAUUUCACAAAUUAAAAUUAAUUUUUUGUUAGUUUCCAACAGUAACUUCAGUUAAGGGUGGGAAAUCGGUUUAGCCGAUUAUCCGACCGAGUCGGUUAUAUGUUUAUUUAAACGAACCAGAAGUCAGUCAGGAACAGUUGAAACUAAUUACUAAAGUCGGUAAAUCGAUUAAAACCCUCAAUUAACUGUUAACCGACUUAACCGGUAACAAACAAACAAAAAUCCUAACACCCAAACGCCGUCAGCCUACUAUUACUACCCAGCCAGUACCCACCAAAAAUCAAAAUCAAAAUCCCUUACCCAGUUCCCCUUCACAAUCUCGACCAAGUAGGAUCGUCGAUCUCUGUCAUGUUGAGUCUCCUCUCUCACUCCCAAGUCCAACCAACGAACUACUCAACUGCGACGGCAACUGCGAGUAGCAACAAGCUCUCAAUCUUGGCCACUCCACUCGGCACGGCGAGGCUCGGUCAGCAGCAGCAACACCCAUCUCUCGAUUCGAAUCUCGACCUCGAUCAAAUCUCCUCUCCCAGUCGACGAGCUACUUGUCGGCGACGGCGAAUCCGCAAGCAGUAACACCCAUCUCCACUUUCCAUUCUCGACCUCUACUCUUCUCAAUUAACCGAAGACUUACUCGGCGACGGCGCGUUCGUUUUUCCUUGGGCCUAGGUUAUUUGGGUUAACUGACUAAUCGGUCGGUUAAGAGUUGAUGAAUUAACGGUACGGUCGGUUAAUGGUCGGUUAUUUAACCAUUGAGAUUGGUCGGUCGGUUAAAACAGCUAAUCAAUUUCGAUGAUCAAUGUUAUUCAGAAUAUAAAUCGUGUCGUGUUUUGUUAUAGGCGGUACUUUAAAUUACUAUUUUGUAAUUUUAUGAAUCUUUAUGUUCCGUUGAUAGUUGAUUUUUUUGUUAUAUAAUUGAUUUUUUAUAUAACGAAAGUCACCUCCUUAACGAAAAUCCUGACUAGAAUCCUGACUUCGCCUCUGUUGAUAAGUUUUAAUUUUUUUUAAAUGAUACUCGUUUGAACAAUACAUGAGGUCGGGAUUAAAUUGUGUACUCAUUUUCCUCGAUCACCGAAGCUCAUUUCAACCUCAAAUUUUAUACACAUGAAAUCAACCCAUCAUUUUCAAAAUGAACAUAAUAUAAAAAAUCUAGCACAUAAAGACGACGAAUACGUAUAAAUACGCACAGUACUGUAUGUAAUGUCAUCAACGAAAAACAAAUACGAAAGCCAUAAGCAACUCCAGCUAGGUGAUGCCAAUUAGUGGGUCGGAUGCCAUCAUAUAUAUUACACAGAAUGAAAGGAGCUAUCUAUCUAGUAGUAAAAACUAAACAUCAGUAAAUCACUUAUCAUGAAAAUUCUGAUCCCAUCAAUAUAAUUGUUGAGAAGGAAACAUAUAUGGCCCCCGACAUGUAUCUUGUGUUGGAGAGAGGCCACACACUCAAAAGCUCAGCGUCAAUUCACCAACAAAACGCUGUACAUGUCAUUAGGAAAUGCUGGGUGAGAAGGGAGCAUGCUCCACUGAAAAGACAAAACAAAGAGAUAAAAAGAGUAUUUUGUUUUUGUUUUGGUCAGUAAUUGAAUCAUGUCGUCCUCCUUUCUGUUUUACAACACUUGCACGACUGAAUAGUGAAUAGUUAUUAUUAGUAGUAGUGGUACUAAUAAGGAGCUUCUAUAAUAACUUCAUGUGGCUACAACUGCCUCCCAAUUAUAUAUGCCAAACCAAAGCUGCCUUUCUCAAAGAAGAUCCAAGUUCAUGUUCCCUCUAUCUACCACCUACUUCUUCCUAUAUAAGUAGCCGCCGUUGAUUAUGACAUUAUUCUUGCGUUUCCAAGCGUUAUCUGUUUAACUGGUGGAAUGUGAAAAAGAAUUUAGAUGAAAAUAAAAAAAUUAAUUUCCAAAAUGCACUUCUCUAUAAUCUUAAUUUUCCCAAAUUCCACCCGCCAAACAAAUCUUCUAGCUCAUUUUAUAAUAAAUAGUGAUUGUGAAAAAAUACUUGAAUUAGGAAAUAUAAAGAUUCCAAAUGAAAUUGUAUUUCCCGACCUUUUCAAGGAAAAAAUAAACUUUCUUAAUAACCGAUUAAUUUACUGAAUCUCUAUUUGAUGCCCUAAAUNNNNNNNNNNNNNNNNNNNNNNNNNNNNNNNNNNNNNNNNNNNNNNNNNNNNNNNNNNNNNNNNNNNNNNNNNNNNNNNNNNNNNNNNNNNNNNNNNNNNNNNNNNNNNNNNNNNNNNNNNNNNNNNNNNNNNNNNNNNNNNNNNNNNNNNNNNNNNNNNNAUUGUUAGUGAGUAAUUAGGAUAAUUAGAUAAUUGUUAGUGAGGGUUUAGGAUUUUGUUAGGAAUAGUAAGUGAAUUUAGUUUAGCAUAAUGCGAAUUUUAUUAGAAAUGUUCAUUUGUUUAAAUGUAGUUUGCUGAAAAAGAUGGCGAAGACAAAAGGUGGAGGUAAAUCGUACAGUCAAGAUCCGGUAGAGAAAGAAACUGAUGGGAUCCAAAACAUGAGAGGGAAAGCAAAGCAAGCAGGCAUUUUAGAUCGGAUGAAAGAGUGAGUGAUCACCGCUUCGAGGCGGAAAGAGGGAGAGGCCGCGAAGAAGAAUAAGAAGUUGAAAAUCUACGGCUCCCCUGACCGGUACCCUCUUGUUACGUACUCGAUUAGGGCAUUUCCGGAAGAUGACGACGAGGAUGAGGGUCCACCACCGGGGUUUGAGUACGAGGAGACACCGACUUUCGUGCACAUGAGUUCUCUACACACGGCUUCUCUACACAGCGCUUCUACAGGCGCGUCACAUGCCUCCGCGAGUGUUCGCUUUAGAGGAGGAAAACCUAGCCAACUUGCACCGGUAUAGGAGGAGGAGGCUGCUAGUGGAGUGGACUAGGAGGGACUCAGUUGUACUUGGGAGCUUACAGCAGGGAUUCCAGAUGAUGGACCGAGGAGGUCGACAAUGAUCCCCAACUUUGGGGGUCACAUUGCACAUUACUUGUGGCAGUCUAGAGAUGGAUACAGCGAUCUGAAGAGCUUCUGGUUCUUGAAGCGCCCUAAACAAUGGGACACGGUGAGCGACUUCGACAUCCAGACGAAGAGCAUUUGGCCGAUCAUGUAGGAGUCGAGACUUCUUCACUUGGGCUAGUGCAUGUCGACCCACUUUGAUGAGUCUUUUCUCGAGGCAUUUGUUGAGAGGUGGCUGGCCGAUACUAACACCUUUCACAUCCCGUAAGGGAGAUGACAAUCACUUUGCACGAUAUCUUCCACAUUCUCCGGGUCCCGGUGGCUGGAAGACCGCUUCAUAAACCCCAAGCUCUUGUUGAUUUUAGGGCGGGUGUGAUGUGAUUUGGCUUCACCUCAAUAACAUGGAUCCCCGUGAUGUGAUUUGGCUUUCAUUUGGGCCUCACCCUGAUGUCGAGGUUCCCGAGUCGACUUUUCGUGGACUCAUUUGCUGAGCCGACGUUGGUGAGUAAUACGAUUCCUACCGUAUGCUCAAACAUUUCGGGUACAUGCUGAUUGUCCCUCCCUUGAUUAUUGUGUCGCUACGGGCUAAUGGGCCCCGCACGAUUCGGAACUAUGCGGUCCAGUGGGCCCCGCACGAUUCCACUCGCCACCUACGACCCGACACCUCACUGCCAGUUUGAAGGGGCAGUCACAGUUCUUCGUCUUCGUAAUCCAUUUCGGCGGGUCGGAACAUGAGGAUUUACGAGAAGGUCCCCGGGAGCAAUAUAGAUACACACGGUACUUUCACUCUGCGUUUUUUAUUUUGUUGGAACCUUUAGUCAACUUGAAGUUAAGCGUUUGGGUAAUUCGCUUUGCCACUUCACAAGCUUCCUCGGCAUUAUCGUACACAUCGUCGGAUAAAAAGUGUUCGGUGUAAUUGAUUACGUCACCCUUACUCACCGAUGAAUCUUGCAACAUUAAAACACACAAAACAUACGCUUUAUUUAUCGAUUAUCUACACAAUUUCGUAUUAAUUCAAUUAUUUCUACAACAAAAUUAUCGACCACUUACAGAAUUGCUCAUGUCGAGUUAUUGCAUCCAAUGAAUGUUAAAACCAUGUGAAGAAUGUGAUUAUCUGAAAAAUUACUAAAGGAGAUCGUUAAAAAAUAAAAAAAAAUCGGCCAGAGGACCACCCGACGGGACCGAAACUUCGGCCGAGAAGCCUCCCGGCCGGCCGCGGAUUUCGGCUGGGAACAUUGCGGGCCGAAACAGCCGGCCGGCCCGGGCUACCUGCGGCCGAAAUCCACCACCGACCGGGAUGCUUGUCGGCGAAUUUUCGAUCCCGCCCUCUAAAAUUCACCAAAUUGUAAGGACACACGUACCGUGAGAGAGGUUUUCGAAUGAGUAAUUCGGAUAGUUUCGUUUUUACAAAAAAAUUCGAAUAAGUAAAUUUGGAUAGUUUCGUCUUUACGAAGUUUAGGGCGUCAUUUAAUUCAAAAGUUAGGGCGUCAAAUAGUAAUCCUCUUAAUUUAACAUUCUUUUCACAACCUUCCAAUCCAAUUAUCUUUCACCAUUUCAGUCAUAAAUUAACUUUUCUAAAAAUCAUGAUUCCUAGAUUGUCUCUACCUCAAUUCAACGACUUUCCAUCAUCUUGACUUAACUUUUCUAAAAAUCAUGAUUCUCGUUGCUAAACCAAAUCGUCGUCUCCCGAAACAAUGAGAUACGAACAUACCGGAAAAUUUUCCAAUACAUAGAGCCUCCUCAAUUUCAUAUAAGAAAAAGUUGUGGUUUUUAUGUCAUCCAUGACUGGACUUUUGGCAAACCUCAGGACAGGAGAGCAAGAAAAAAGCCUUUUCUUUCUUGUCGAGCAAAGCAAACCAACACAAUAAUAACGGGUCAAAAUGGACCCAACAACUACUAAGAAGUGUCAGCAAUUAGGAAUAUGGCUUUGUAAUGUUAAAGAAAACACUUCCCAAUGCAUGCAUGCAUAUGCCUGUUCACAUUCACAUCAACAACAAUCUUUAGUUCAAGUACAGAGCUCGCACCAGUCUAACUCUAUAUUGCGCAGAGCGAUAGAGUAUUGGUACAGAGAACAACAGCAUUAUCUAGCCGUCCGUUUCUCCAGCUCCGCCCUUGAGAUGUAGAUGCUUCUCCCUUUUCUGGAACUCUGUUAAUCCUUUUCCACUCCCCGUCACACCAACCUUGCCAUGAGGAUCAUCGGGCGACUUAAAUAUGCUUUCUCGUUUUCGGCCUGAGAAGAAACCAACCUGGAAGAUGGAACAGUUUACAUAUAAAUUGCGAGCUCCAUACAUAAAGAAGGUAUUUCCAAAAAACAUACCUUCUUUGUCUUCCCUUUAGUUGUCUGAAACUGCUGCCAAGCAUUCUGCCGCUUAUUUUGUGCAACUUCAAGCUUUUCUACUCUCAUCUUCGACUUAAAAGCAUGUAUCUUCUUCCGCUUUGUAGCUUUCACAUCCUCGGGAUCAUCAGGUUCUAUACGAAGCUUUGCUGGCAAAGUACGUGACUCAAAAUCAACUGAACCAGCCUGUGCAAUUUUCCUUUUGAUGGCCAGUUUUGUAGCUUCAGCUACUCUUUCAGCCUCCACUAAGGCAUUGGUCUCAACUGGUCUAACAUUGUCAGGAUCCACCUGAAAAUCACCAAUCCACCAGCAAUUAAAAUCUCGUCCAAGUCAGUUAAGUAUGAGGGCAAUAGUAUUAUUCUGACAUGGAUGUAUUCACAAAGAUGCGAACCGAUCCAAGUGAAGGAAUUAACUAAAAUGUACCUCUUCUUUGUUUCCCCAUCCAUCAUAAGCAACAUAAUAGCCGUUAGGAGUGAUAGCCUCAAUUGUUCCAUCAUACCUGAACAAUUAACUAAUCAAACACAAAAAGAAGGUAAAGUAAUGCUAGGAAAGGGAACAAGUAUCGGCCAAUAUAAGUUGCGCAUGACCUAUCAACGUACCAUUCUCCAUCCUCGCUAUAGACUGCUUGAACUCUAGAGCCCACAGGAAACCUCUCAAGAUGAUCAGGGUUGUCAGUUAAUUCCUAAUAGAGAAGGAAAACUAGUUAUUUACAAUUAAUACAAUGGCAGAGACUAAUGAUUACAUUUAGUGAUUUAGAGAAGCAUGUUGUAAUCAUUUGGGGAUACUUUCCUUUUAAACAUACAGGUUAGCUUGGAACUAUGAACUUGAAUAGCAUACAUGGUUUUACCAACCUUAGCUUGACCAAAAGUUGGAGAAACAUUACUUCCAGCACUAACAGCUAAUCCUGGAACCUCGUUCUGCUUUGCAGUGGCAAGGAGUUCUUCUGUCAAUGCAAUGACCUGCAAAACCAACACUGUUAGCGAAUUCUCAAUGAUAAAGGGCAGUAAUCCUACCAACUAAUUGUUAAUUGCAAUAUUUCUUAACAGAAAACAGAUUUCCAAACACAGCGAUGUAGAGAAUCAGCCUGGCCUUCAGAAGAUAUCUAGCACACCUGCAAAUGGACCAAGAUAAAAGUGAUGGGCAUCUUGAUGAAGUUUUCAGUUUCUGAAGUAGGUCCAUGUUAUAGAAAACUUUUCAUCAGAUAAAAAAUGCCCUCACCUUUUAACACCAACACGAAAUUAAAACACCAUGGACCAAUUAUCAGCUUAUUAAUGUUGGUUGACUGAGCAACAUUUUGAUUCCUUCAAGAGAGAGGAGAAAAAGAUAAAACAAAGAAUGGAACUAAACUUCACAAAAAAACCUAGCUGCUCUAAGAUACCAAACAUCCAAACUCCAUGCGGAGUGUACAGAACUUAAUUAUGGAAGACCUUGACAAUAGGAAAACAGCCAUUACACUGUCAACCUCUAACCAAACGCCAGACUCCAAUACCACGGUUAACUCCUCCAGACAUCCACCUAACCCUUGAAGAAAAAUGAAACAAACUGUAUCAAAUUUUUAUGUCAGCAGAUUACCUCGUGGAGUUCCUUCUCCAUGUCUGCAUAUUCAGAAUUCUCAGGUUCAUCGGCCAAAAGUUGACGGACCUGGUUUGCAAGCAAAGAGAAGAAUAUCAUGAGUCGCGCUAGAGGUUACAUAAACUAUCAUAAGGCUGGAAUAGUUAUACAAUUCUUGUGCAAUUGUCAACAAUUCUAACAGCACAUUACCAAAUAACAACGGAUUUUUAGACAGAAAGAUUUUCAAUCGGGAGGAGUAGGUUCAAUAAUCAGACAAAAAGAAGCUUCAUCUAGACAUGAACUAAUACAUCCAUAUUAGAAGCAGGUAUAUAUGUUAACAACGCAAUAAUUAAAUCACGACACCGUAGGAGGUUCUAAACACUCAGAGAUUCGAAAUAAAUUUGCAUUACUUGAUUGAAGUCUGACGAUAAAAGAUUAUAUAGAUGCAUAUCAGAUAUAUGAAAGCAUCGGAAUUUACUAUCCAUACAAAAUUCCCAACAUCGAGCUUCUCCAUAUUGCAUUCCAAGUGCCAACAAUGAGGACAAUAAACCCCAAUCAAACGAGCCUAAAUCACAGAAUUUGAUAGGAGAAACAGGUGAGGGAAGAGAGAGUGAGUUUACGGUAUCAAGCUGUUCUCUGUAAGUAGAGAGAUUGGAAGUCAGCUCUUCGAUGCUGAGUUCAUCGCCUUCUCCUUGCAUCAUGCCCCUCUCGAGCCUUAACCUUCUUCUUCACCAAAUUGAUCUUAACAGAGGGUUUUGGAAUUCUAGGGUUUCGAAACAAGAAAUUAGAUGCCCACCGUUUUUCUCCUUUCCCUCCGCAAGAUUCUAAUUCUCAAGUAAGACACCGCAGCAGGAAAAAAGCAAACAAUUUUUCCACCAAAAAAAAAAAGCAAAGCAAACAAUUUUUCCACCAAAAAAAAGCAACGAAUUUGAACCAAUUAUUAUAAUAAUUACAUAUUUGCCAACCCGGUUGCAAGUUUCAACAGUAUCCACAGUUUCUAAUUGGGCUCAACCUUUAGCAGGCCGACAUAGAUUGUACUUGGAUUAAAAUUUACAAUAUAUAUAUACAAGGCAAGUCCCACCCAAGCCCAAGGCUUUUGUCUGGACGAUAUUAAAACUUAUAAAAAAAACAGCAGAAUUAUUAAAACAAACCAAAAUUAUCCUAAGAUCAAUUAGAUCAUCAUCUAUAACACCAUACUAAAGUUAAAAAAAUUAUUUACCAUAUAACACAAUGGAUGAAAAAUUAAAUUAAAGUGAAAUUUUUUCUUUCUAGUUACCAUAUAUAUUAAAUUUAGGAGAUAAUUAUCACAACAAACUAAAUAAACCUCUAAAUUAUUUUUAUUACCUUACAUAUGCAAACAAAUCAUGGUAACAAAUUCAUAAUUAGUAAACUAUUUAUUGUUUUUAAUGGAAGAAUGGUGAAUAAUUAAAUACAAAUAUAACUGUUGGAUUCUCUAUUCAAAUAAACAUAGAAUUUAUUUAAUUCAGUUGAUAUGUUACCAUAUUCAUCAACACACUUCCACCUAUAUAAACCAACAACUCCAUAGGGAUAAUCCAUCAACCACUCAACACAUUCAAUUAUUAUAUAUUAAACCUUUAAAAAUUAAUCUUAACAAAACAAUAAAAGAGAGAGAAAUGGAGAAGGUUUUGAGUUCAUGUUUUAUUAUUGUCUUCUUAGUUCUCGCUUCUGGUACGUUGUAGCUAAUUGAUAUUUUAUAAGUACCAUUGUAAAUAGUUUUUAAUAUUAGAUUGUUUGCAGGUGUGACAGCGAGCAUGGGAGAAUUAGAAGGGAAAACGGAUGGCAUAAUUCCAAAAUGCAAAUGUCCUCCUUCACCAUGUCAUUGCUUUUAUGGAAUCUGCUUAUGCCCAGCGGGGCCAAGGCUGCCGGUGCCGGAGUCGCAAACAACGCAUUCUUAAACCUUAUUAAUCGUAUACAAGGGAUUAUUGGUUACAAGUUUUUCUUUUAUUAUGCUUCUUUUUAGUUUGUUACUCAAUGAUUAUUAUAAAUUAAUAAUAAUAACAAUUUAAUAUAUGUGGAUGCUAUAUAUGAUGAAUGUGGUGCUUGGUGUUAUGGUGCUUAAUACCUUUAUGAUGUUACGGCAUGCUUUAAGUCAAAUCAAUGAUAUUUUAUAUAUGAUAGUGUUAGGAUCUUGUUUGUAAAUAACUCAAAAUUGAAGAAAAGAUGGAUGUAGACCAAUUACAUCAAUUCAACUAUUUAUGUGAAGAUUAGAUUUAGAGACUUUUAUCAAACAUUUGGCGUGGAUUCGGAUUUGGACUUAUUUGACAAACUUAAGUGUAAUCCAAUUGUUUGAGUUUAAUGUGAUCGUAUUGCAAGUCUAGUUAAGUAUUUGUAAGGUCUUUAAAAUGAUCAUAUCACCUAGACAAUUUAUCAAACAUUGUGUUCAUUUUUUAGUCUCCUUAAAUAUUGAGUGUAGGCCAAACAUCAAUUGAGUAAUUAGUGAUGAUAGUUUAUAUGCAUGACAAUGUCACCAACUCCUUUGAUUUUCUAGUGAAAAUUUAUUAUCAUAACGAUGAUGUCCAACUUAAUAUUUUAGGUAGUUUGACAUUGAUCUCUUCCUUUCCAAAUAACAUACUUUGUCCAAUUUAAUCAACAUUUGUAUCUUAUUUGCUUUGCUUUGUUCAAUUAUUCAACCUUUCAUGGUUAGAACUACUCUUAACUAUAGGAACCAUUCCAAAUUUCGAAGCACUACUUAACAUCUGUUUGCAACUUUCGUUUUCAAGGCUCUUCUUCAAACGGUUUUCUUUUACGGCGGUUUUCCUCUAACGCGAUCUAAACGGUGACGGCAUGCGCUGCCGGAUCUUGGUUGUUUGCGCCUCCUCUCUGGCAACUCCCGCUCUUUCGGUGUCCACUACUUAACUUUUUUUGCAAUACACACCUCCCUGCUAUGCAUGAUUGUUUUCAAUUAGCCUUGGGUGCCUUACAACGUGGGGGUAUUUUACCCUUCCCCACUACUACCACUAAAUGGAUCUUAUCAUGACACUAGGCUCCUUAAUUCCAAAAAAUCAUCCCAUUCUUUAUGCUUGCCUCCUUUUCUGGGAAUUUCUACUUCUCUCAUAGAUCGGUUAUCUUGCCCCCUCUAUCGCUCAGAGAUGGCUGCCCCAGCGUUUAUAGUCUCUACAUAUGAUAUUGUUGCAGACAGGCACCUCUUUUCCCAAAGCCUACUUGCGAAAUUCUUCUGGGAAGAUCCGCGUCCUCUCAAACUGGUGCAAGCAACGAUUAGUCGCUGGAGGCUGGUCGGAUCGGUUCGUAUUUCCCUGAAGGUGAUGGGUGUUGAAAGUAAGUAAUCAACAAUUUAGAGUAUUCUUUCUCUAGAUCACUUCAAAAAAAUAUCUCAACUACUCAACUAAACUAAUUAAUAUGUUUUAAUAACUAAACUAGUCCUAGCCACAAACUAAACCUACCAAACGUGCUAGUAUCUUCCUAAGGAGGUUGUAUUGUCCUAUAAAUGUGAAGUCUCACUUUAGGCAAGUGUGAAGAGUAAAGAAAACAAAGUGUAAGCAAAGCAAAAGUGAGCAAGAAGAAGUAGAGAGCAAAUUGUGCGAGUGAGGGAAUUGGUCAAGUGACCAAAUUAUAAUAUUUACAAAAUUGAGUGAUCAAUUGAGUGAGUUAUCAAAAUACUAUCUUUUCGAUCCUAAAUUUCGCUAUAUUUCCGCUAGCGCCCCAACAAAUUUGGUAUCAGAGCUAAUGUUAUACCGAGUAUGCUAUGUGGUUGCGGUUUUAAUAAUUGAUCUUCCACAUCAUAAAAGUUACACUUUAGUACUUUGAUAACCGUAUUAUAACCUACCCUCACAAAACCCUCUCAAAACCUCAACCAAAAGAAUCUCCUCAAAAUCCUAUGGCAGCACCAUCGUCAAGUUCCAUGCUCGCCAACUCUCCAAAUCAAAUCCCAAUUUUUGAUGGCCAAUUUUUAUGGAGAAUUGUACGAAUACGAAUAUUGGAAAGUACAAACUAUCUUCAUUUCACAAGACUUGUGGGAUAUUAUUCAAGAUGGCAUCGAACAAUCACUACAAUAAGACGACUCCACAUCGAUCGGGAAAAUGGCGGAAUCGGCAAAAGAUGACGAAGACGAAGGAAUAUAAGGAGAAUGUCAAGAGGAAUGUCAGCGUAUUGAGGAUAAUUCAGCAAGCUGUGAGCAAAAUAAUAUUUCCAAGAAUUUUUUACUUCAAAUCAGCCAAAUAAGUUUGGGAAGUCCUGAAGAACAAAUUUCAAGGUCCGAGAAGGCAAUCUCCAUAUAACGCCAAAAUCUAUGGCGUCAAUUUUACAACCUGGGGAUGAAGGAAGGCGAAACUAUCAUAGACUUUCAUUCUCGUGUUGUAGAGAUAGUGAACCAGAUCAAAGUCACUAGAGAGACUAUCAACGAGAAGAAGAUCGUGGAGAGGAUCCUUCGCAUCCUAACGCCAAAGUUUGAACACGUCGUCGCUGUCAUAAAAGAAAUAAAAGAUCUUGGAAAAUUACCCAUGAUGGAGCUUACGGGAUCACUUGUAGCUCACGAGCAGAGAUUGAGCCGGUUUACCAACCAACAACUCGAACAAGCUUUUCAAUCCAAGGUUGACAUCAAAGGAGACAAAUCAGGAAAUUAGGAGCAGAACCGCAAAGGGGGCAACUUUUAGAAAAAAGGAGGAAAACCAAAUUUCAAGAAAAAACAGAAACUGGAGCCAGAAUCAGGAGAAAUCAAGCAACUCCAACGACGGAUGCAAAAUUUGNNNNNNNNNNNNNNNNNNNNNNNNNNNNNNNNNNNNNNNNNNNNNNNNNNNNNNNNNNNNNNNNNNNNNNNNNNNNNNNNNNNNNNGAGAUUGCUGGUUCCAAAACAAGAAAGAAGAACGCGAUUCAAGCUUUGCACAGAAGGACAAAAAAAUGGUCGCAUACACUGGCUUCAAAGCCGAGCAAAAAUCUCAACUUUCAUGGGGCUGGACAGCGGUUGCAGUAAUCACAUGGAUGGAGAUCCAGAGUCCUUCACCGAGAUGGAUGAUACAUAUAAGUCGAACGUGAAUAUUGGAGACGGUAAAAAAUUGGAAGUGGAAGGAAAAGGUACAAUCAUCAUACAAGGAAAGGGAGGUAACAAAACUCUAAUCCAAGAAGUUUUGUACGUUCUUGAACCAGCUCAAAAUCUUCAGAGUGCUGGACAACUAAUGCUUAAAAAUUAUAAGCUAUUGUUUGAUAACGGGCAAUGUGAGAUUAUCAACAAAUCCAAUAACUCGAAGGUGGCAAAAAUUUUGAUGAGUUCCAACAGGAUGUUUCCUCUCACAAUGUUGAAGAAUGAAGAAAUAGCAAUGAAGAGCCAAAGCAUGGAUGAAUCUUUCCUAUGGCAUCUCCGAUAUGGUCACCUAAACUACAACGGGCGUAAAUUGUUGAAGCAGAAAAAUAUGGUGGUUGGCCUUCCCCAAAUCAACAGAGAAGAUAAGGUCCGUGAAGGAUGCAUAUAUAGCAAAAUACAUCGCUUGCCAUUUCCAAAAACCACUUGGAGAGUAAAAGCACCAGUAGAGUUGGUACACGCCGACAUAUGCAGACCAACCAGAACAGCAUCCAUAGGUGGUAAGAGAUAUUUUCUACUAUUUUUGGAUGAUUAUACUAGAAUGAUGUGGGCAUUAUUUCUUGAGCAAAAGUCAGAAGCUUUCUCGAAGUUCCUUCAAUUCAAAGUAGCAGCUGAGAAGGAAAGCGAGCAUCAAAUCAAGACACUCCGAACAGAUUAUGGUGAAGAGUUCAUCUACAAACCAUUUAUAGAGUACUGUCGCACCAACGGAAUCAAGAGGCAGUUGAUAGUGCGGUACACACCACGACAAAAUGGUAUAGUAGAACGAAAGAACCGUCAAUUGUGGAGAUGUCAAGAAGCAUGAUGACUGCUAAGAAAAUUCCCAACCAACUAUGGGCGAAGCUAUCAAUACAACAAUCUACAUACUCAACAGAUUGCCAACCAAGUAGUGAAGACAAAACACCUUUUCAAGCAUGGCAUCACAAAAGGCCGCAAGUGGAUCACCUCAAAGUAUUUGGAUGCAUAGCAUAUGCACACAUCUCUACCCCAAAUCGAGACAAGUUUGACGAGAAGGGAGAGAAGCUCAUUUUCAUCAGAUAUAGUGAUGAAUCCAAAGGUUAUAGACUCUACAAUUCAUUAAAGAAUGAGGUGGUGAUUUCACGAGACAUUAUCUUCAAAGAAAUGGCCGAGUGGAGCUGGGAGACUCAUGAUACUCAAUAUCCAUCAACAAAUGAGAUCCUAGAGAAUCCAACAACUACACCAACAACACCAAAUGAGGCGAAUCAAAAUCCAAGAUAAGGAAGAAGUCCAACGAGAGACAACUUCAGAGACAUCGUGAGAGAUUCAGACUCACCUCCAUUAUAGGUCAGAUCCUUAAGAGAAAUUUAUGAAUCAAGUCAUGUAGCAUAUUUUUCUUGUGAACCCCAGACAUUUGAAGAAGCAGCAAAAGGAAAAAUAUGGACAGAAGCAAUAGACACAGAGAUCUCAAUGAUCGAGAAGAACAAAACUUAGGAGCUUGUGGAAAAACCAAAUGAUAAGCCGGUCAUAGGUCUAAAAUGGAUCUACAAAAUAAAAUUUAAUGAAGAUGGUUCCAUCUAGAAGCACAAAGUGAAUUGGUGGCAAAAGGAUAUUCACAGCAGCCUGGCAUCGACUUUCACAAAAACUACGCACCAGUAGCACGGAUGGAGACAAUCAAUACAGUCAUAGCACUAGCAGCUCAAAUGGAGUUACCAAUAUUUCAGCUAGACAUCAAGUCAGCAUUCCUCAAUGGAACACUAGAAGAAUAAGUCUAUGUGGAACAACCACGAGGAUACGAGAAGGAAGGAUAACAGGACAAAGUUUAUCGACUCAAAAAGGCACUCUACGGUUAGGUUUCUAACCCUGCCUCUCGAUUAUUCAUUUUUUGACUAACCUUGGUUCUAAUUUCAUGGGCCAAGAUUUGGGCCUGUUUUGUGUGGGAUCAAAUGGAGCCCAAUACACUAAUCCCUUCCCCACUCGUGGAAUAGAUCCUCUGGGAGCCCAAUGUUACUGCUACUAAUUUAGUGGAGGUACAAAUAAUGGACUGCUUUAUUUCUAAUUAUAUCUUUGAGUCUUUGAAUGUUACCACCCAAUUGGGCUUGCAGGUAACUUCCAAAAAGAGGUCAGCUCCUUCUCCCAUGUACACACUGCUGCUUGUACUUCUGGGCCGGGCCACAAAGCUCUUGUUCCAUUGUCAGAACCAUCACUCAAGCGAUUGGAACCGACUGGACCGGUUGGCUUGGUGGCCACCAUGCCAGAGCACAUCAAAUUUCCACCGAGAUUCCGUCACGCUACACCAAUUCCAACCGCAAUUCAACGCCAACCAUUGGUGGGUGACUCAUCUAAGGCAAAACGGGCAAAACACUCAGCCCCAACACAAUCCCUGGCGGGAAGUCACUUAGACUCUAUCGUUCCUCCACCUGAGCUUCUGCUGGGAUGUUGGUUUCAGCUGCGGCACUUGAUGACGGCGAGCGCGUAAAUGACAGGCUCGCCGAUCCGUAAUGAACGCACUACCUUGGAACUGUAGAGGCCUGGGCAGAACAUCGACAGUUCGGGAUUUGAAGGAUCUCGUCCGAUUUACUAGGCCAAGCUUUCUUUUUCCUUUCUGAAACUCGUCUAAUGGACUCCACUAGUAUAUCUCGCUUAGAGGAUUUUGGAUUUUCAUUUGCUACUUCUGUUGAUGACUCUUCGUCUGGAAGUGUUAUAGCCUAUGCUAGCUUAUACGCAGAUGAAUGUUAUGUCAUGUUCUCUGAACCAUUUUCUAUUUGCAUCACUUAUGAAGCCCCAAUCGUUUAUUUACUUUAUUGGCGUCCAGUUGUCAACGAAUUAUCAAAUUCGAUAUGUCAGUACGACUUCCUUGUAGCUGAACUUGACCAUUUAGAUGAACUGGUUCUCAUUUGUGGGGACUUCAAGAAUGUCCUGGUUCCUUCAGAAAAGGAAGACGUUCUCCCUCCCACUCCAGAUCAACUCGCUCGCUUUAAUGACUUUGUAAGUAAGCUAGGACUUGUCGACUAGAGGUUUGAGGGACCCAUUUCAACAUGGUCCAACGACCAGACAGGACGUGGGAAGUGAAGAAGCGCCUAGACCGAUGCCUUGCCACUCCCACCCGGUUAGAUAUAUGGUCUAAAGUAAAGUUUUCCAUUUGCUCCCACUCUCGUCCGAUCACCAGCCGAUACACCUCAUUACCACCGUUUCACCGUCGGUUUCCAAACUACUGUUCUGGUUUUAUUGUCGAUGAGCGGAUAACCCAUAAAUUACUGGUCUCGUAUCCCACUUUUGGCAAACUGAUACACCAGGACUCUGAUGUUCCGUCUUCAUCACCGCCUCUAGAAUGUUCACAAAGAGCUUUUUGACUGGAGUCGAGCUGGUACCUAGAACUCGGCUAGGCUACUACACGACCUCACCUCUGCCCGUCAACAGCAGUCUGUUGAAUGGCUGGAAGUUCACCGCCUCGAGAUUGCGCUCGCAGCCACUCGAUCCCACGAUGAUUUGUAUUGGUGCCAGAAAAGACGUUUUGACUGGUAUCAGGCAAGGGAUUGUAACACAACCUUUUUUCAUCGCUAAGUUUCAGUCACCAAAAAGCGUAAUUGAUGACACUCGAUUUGUCAUGUUCAUUGCCCUCGUUUGAGAAAUAUUCCAUGCAUAUUAGUAUAGUUUUGAAUAGAAGUUUAGGAUGUUUUGCACAUUUCUAGGUUUUGUCUCGAUUUAGUGUCUCGGGCCCGUUUGGGGUCCUUUCGAUGUCAUUGUAGAGUUUUUUGUAAGAUUACAGGUACAUGACGAUGUCAAGGCACUAUUGGAGCGAUACGGACAUGCAUGGACGAGCUAGGGCGGGUCAAGAAGUGAAGAAAUCACAAAGGGCUGCACGUUGUCAAGAUUGGCGCUAUAGAAUGUCAACGUUGACCAUUUAUAGCGGCAAUGUUGACACCCCUUUCUGAUUAUCAAUUCUAUAGAAUGUCAAAGUUGGCGCUAUGGCUAGAGCACUAAUAUUGACACAAGACCAUAGCGCCAAUAUUGACAUUCCGCAAUUGGAAGGAAUUUUUAGAACUCCUAUUUAAAGCCCGGUUCUCUCUCAUUCAAAGACAUACUACCCUAGAAGAAAUUGAGAGAUUUGAGAGUGACUAAAAGGAAACUUCAAGGAGUUCGGAAUUGGCGAAGUAAUCAAGACGGUGUAUCAAGUUCUUCGGGAAGAUCGGGGAAAUUAGGUUUUUCUCAUAAUUUUUUGUGUAAACCUAGAUUCAAUGUCUUCCUCCUCUGAUUUUGAUUUUUCUUUCGUGAUUACGAGCAGCUAAACUUCUCCUGCGUAGAUUAGAUGAACCCUAGGUUAAUUCCUAUGAACGAACUAUUUGAUACGUUUGACGAUUUAUGCGAGUUGGAUGGAUUUCAUUGCGUACUUGAUUUCAUUUUCGAUUAGUUCUUGCCUGAUCAACUUGAAUGAAUCUCUGUUAGACUUGUCUCAGACUCGCGCGAGCUUGCACGUUUAGAACACCGAAACCAAAUAACUAGGUUAAACGUUAACCCUUAUCCUGUAGCGAAUGAACUAGUCAGUCGUAUGAGCAAUUCUAAAUCGGUAAAUCAGUUAGCGGGUUUUAGAUAGAAUACUAUAUAGGUAGCAAAUUAGCGAACCCAAAAGGGCGUGAUUUGAUUAGAGAAGAAUUGCGACAUUCAAGGUCACCGGUCACCGUCUCAAGCGCUAUCUCAUUGCCAAGCCUACCGAUGGAGUCGAAGUUCAUUACUUCGAGGAUGUUCAAUGAAAGGCCAUGUAUCGCCUAGCUCAAAGACGUUAAAGAAAGAGCGCUUCAUGGGAGGCAGCCCAUGUCUGGAGUUAGUCUUUUGCAUUUUAUUUGAGUUAAAUUAUAUGUUUAGGUGUUAGAUCGAGUCUAGAACAUGAUACUUUAGUCCCUAGCCUAUCUUGAAUAAGUGGUGUGAAAAGGGUUGAUUUUUUCUUGAAAGGGUCGAAUUUGUGUGUUGUGUGGUCAAUAUUGGUGCUAUGACUAUAGAGCCAUUAUUGAUCAUUCAUAGCACCAAGCUUGACAGGGGUCUCUAGAAACUUAAAAAAAUUGGCGCUAUAGAUAGUCAAAGUUGGCGCUAUAGGCUAUAGCGCCAAUAUUGACAUCAGCCUAUAGCGUCAAUGUUGACACCGAAAUCGCGAUAGGAGCCCCUUCUGCGCGAAAUUUAAAACUGUUGUCGCACCCAAACCCGUACUUAAACCUUCACCCACUAUCGCUAUCCACCAUCUCCAUGUUUCCAUCGAGCCCUCGCUGGAUACUGGUGACCGCCGCCGAGCCUUCCCACAAUGAUUUGAUUCAUCAUUGAUUGUGUUUUGAGCUUGUUUGGUACAAUUUCGUAUGAUUUUAUCCAAUCUCCCGAAAUUGCUUGUUGCUACUCCAUUGUUCUCUUCCAAUCAUGGUGAAUAGAAGGUACUAACCUUAUGUGUCUAUGCCUAGCUUUAUAUUCGGUUACUUUAUUCUGGAUCAGUCAGAUUUGUGAGAUUGAUGAUUAGGUUUAAGAAUCCUAAUUUUUCGAGUUUGGGAUUUUGUGAAAUUGAUAAUGCUAGUGAUAUGAUUUUCCCCCUUAAAAUUGCAUGAUUAAGUCGUUGAAAUGAGGAUUUUUGCUAUGUAUAUUUAGGGUAUUUUCCGGGUAUGAAAAGUGGUGAACUUUUCCUUGUCUUGCAUUGCUUGUGUGACUUUGUGGAUUGUUUCUUAGUGUCAUAUGCUUCAUUUGGAAUGCCUUGAAGAUGUUGAACUUGAUUUAUGAUGCCGAUUGUCUAUUUGUGAGGGUUAUUCACUAAUGGUUACUUAACCAAUUCUUAUCUUUUGCUACAAAUUUAUGCACAUUAAAGUGUGGGGUGAUUUGUUUGUUAACCUCAAUUGCUUUGAGUUUGUUUCUCUAGGCUUCAUGCUCGUCACAAUAGCUCCUCUAGUCGAGAGGAAGCUUCUUCAUCACAACUGGAGCCACAACAAUCACUUGCCAUGGAGAUUGAUGAUGAGGGUGAGCCUGUUGAAGAUGCUCAUGUGGUGAUCCCGGAUAGGCAUGAUCUAGGAGUACAUGACUACCAUCAAUUCCUCCACCACCUCACCAUCAAAGAGUGGACAGCCUUUUGGAAGCGCUUCCAUAAUUUUUAGCUGGCUCCCACCAAUGUCUUCGACCUUGAGGGAAUUCGAGCUUUGAAUCCCGCUUGGAGUGCUCGAGCGGAGGAACUCCUUUGGAAAGCAGGGAUCUUGGAGUUUCUCACCUUUUCAGGUUCACCGAUGCUCGUUCCACUACAGGAGUUUUGGAGCUCCUUCUCUUUCAAGGCUAGGAAGAGUAAGGUAAACAGUACAUGCGUUUCUUACUCUUUGGGAGGAUGUGAUUACAAUGAGACUUUGGAUGAUUUUUCUACCUCUCUUGGAUUCAUGGGGCCAUUUUCUAGGUUUUCCAGGCCUCACAUUUCACCUAGCGAGACCCGUGAUGCGAUCGACAUACACAUCCAUAGGUAUUGGAGUAAGAUCACCAAUGAUAGUGAAGAAUGGAUUCCAGGUUCAUAAUCCUUCACUCUGAUAGUGGAUCAUUUUUUUCAUCUCAUCAACUUGGUUUGGCGCCAAUGUCUUGCAUGGCGCAAUGUUGAGGAUCGCAAAGGCCAUCAUGUUUCGAAGGAUGAGAUGAUGUUCUACCGAGCCAUAGGUCAUGAGAUGCCGCUCCAUCUGGAUUAUGUGGUCGCUCAGUUCUUCAUUCGAGAUGGAAACGAUUGAGGAGAUUUCUGCCUUGUGGUGCAUUUGUGGCUAGGAUCAUUGAGACAAAGGUCCUUCGCGGGAACAGGAGGAAUGCAGAUGACUUGGAGCUCUACUCAGCUAUUAGGAUGGUCGGCACCGAUAUCAUUCGUACUAUACAGUUGGACCUCUCCAAGGAGUGCCUCACCCGCAUCGAGAUCGACACACACCACUAUAGGCAUCUGGUGCGGGAGCCACCAGCAGCACCAGUAGUUGUACAGGCCCCCACCUGCGGGAGAGGUGGGAGGCAUCCUCGAGCACGUGUCCGAGUUGGAGCAGUGGGGGAGGCUGAGGCUGAGGCUUUUCACCAUCCCGAUCAACAGGAGCCAGCAGCAGCUUAGGGCACCUUAGUGCCUGAGUUUAUUCAAUGAUUGUUGGAUUUUGACCACCACAACCACCACCACCACAUGGACACCCUAAACCACCGACGAAGUUUGCUGACAUGAUGAGGUCAGUCCAGCAGUGACAGAUCAGCUUUGGAUAGGGCUGUCUUCCAUGGCAACAACAGCAGGCAGCUUGGCAAACAUCAUUUAAUCUGAGACAGCGACCUUCUUAGAUUGAGCAGAGGAGAGUGGAGCAGGAGCACCAUGAUGAGCAGAACCGCUACAUGCGCUACCUCACUCAGUGUUAGACCAGAUAUUUGAGCCCACCACACUCACCUCCACCGAAAAACUACUGAUUGAGUAUUAUAGUUCUUUCUUUUCGAAUACUAUACCCACUUUAUUAUGUGUGGGUCUUGGACACUUGUCCUAGUCCCUUUUUUAAUUUUAUUUUUUGGUUUUGGGUGUAUUUGAGUGUUUCAGAAGUUAGCGUCGCCACCGAGUCUGAACUCGUUUGGACGCUCUUCCUUGUGGUCCUAUAUGACUCGUUUGAGGAAGCGAGCGAUCGGCUUGUCUCCAUUUGGGUCGCCUAUAGUUUUGAGACUAGUUUACUUAUGGUUCUUCGUCCUCGCAAACGUUCACCAAUUUAUCCUCAAUUAUUAUGAUGUGGUUAAUUUGUGCUUCUAGUUCGAGCAUGGUUACAGGUGCCUGGCAGGUGAUUGAUUACCUCAAGUGCCUAUUGUGCGAAGAUUUCAGGAGACUUGCGUUGACGAGGUCGGCGUUCACGUUCUUUACCGAUUAUACCACGUUGGUCCAUCGAUCAUAGAAGGCUUUCAGUCUCUCCAUGUUUCUGUCUGAGUUUCACCAGCGCGGAGAAGGGGACUUGUAUGAUUCUCUUGCCGUGUCUCGAUGAUUCCUUCAGGGAGAGGUUCAUGUAUCAUUCCCUAGUGGCAGGGAAUUAAUUAAUGCAUUUAAAGUGGGGUUAACAAACAAAAUUAACAAAUGUAUGGUCCGAUCCGAUGUGCCAUCAUACGUGUAAGCCAACACUUAACUUUGGAGUUUUAUGCAUGUCUUUUCUUCAUCUCCCACCCACGUAGCUUUCAUGCAUGCAAACCCGGAAACUUUUCCCCUGUAUAUAAACGAAACCCAUUCCUUGAAAACAUAUCAUCCAUCACAAUAUUACUACUCAACAGCAUAAUACGGAUAUGGCUUCCUCUGCUUUCUCCACCGGCUUGCUGAGCUUGGGCUCCUCACCGUCAUCACCAAGGCCAGAUACAACUCCAGCCAUGACUAGUUUCCCUUCCAAGUCAUCAUCCAUGGUCUUCUCAAGCAACCGCAAGCAGCAGCAAGCUCAGGCUGUCAACUCAAAGAGAGGUGAUGGUGCCGUUAUUCUUGUCAACAUCUUCGGCAAGCAGCAGGCUCAGGACGAAUCUGAUGCCACCAUGUGGGGUGGUGUUGAUUCCUUCGGCAAAACCGCCUGAGGUUUUCCAAAUAAUUAUAUAUAAUUAUUAGUCAAAUAAAAAGAUGACGCUUGAGUGAGCCGUUUCGGUUUACUAUGCUGCAUGUCUUCCCUUAAAUAAAAAAUCAAAUAAAAUAUGAUAGUAUUAAUAACGAGUACAAUUCCAGAGUCCAGACUUUGGUGGAUGCGACUGUUUUUUUUUUGUUCUGGUAUGUGUUUAUGAGUACCACCUUUGCUGGUAUGUGUUCUGAUAAAAAAAUUAAGAUUGGAGUUUUCCCCUCCUUGUGCCUUGUUGUUGAUCUUAGUGCGUUUCGGGGGUGGUUGAUGUCGUUGCUCUGCGGUGGUCGUGGCUGCUGGCAUAAUAUUCAUCAGAACAUAACAAUAAAUGUUAGGAAGUAGAAUUACAGCCCAGAGGUAACAAUCAUUUGUCAACAUGUAGCAAUACUUUCUCACAGCGUAGCCAUUUUCAUCAAAACGUAGCAAUUCUCAUCAAAACGUAAUUUUUUUUAUGAACAACAUUUUAUUAUUCACAAAAAAAUCAAUAUAGGUCCAAUACAAGGAUUAAAAAGAACUUUUAGAGUUUUGGUGAGUCCUUUUUUCAGAAAAAUUCAACACUCAUUGUCAAGACUCGAAUUUGCAAGAUAGAAGGACAAGGCCAAAAAAAAGUGCUAAUCUUCUUUCCAUGAAGAUGUUCUAACAUUGCCUCCUCCAAACCAGGCCUCUAUAGAAACGAAGUCUGCAAAUGGCAUUACAACAACUCCUUUAAGACAAAAAUAUCACCCUGAACAAGGGCAAUAAUUCUCUCUACAGACAAGUUAGCUCCCGUAAACUUCUGAAGACAACGCUCUCAUCAAACAUGAUAAUAAAUGGUGCGUCAGAUAAUACGAACAACAGGACAAAUAGCCGGAUUGGUAAACUCAAGUUGAAUAAUCAAAUUCAUAACUUCUCAUCAGACUACAUCAAUUUUUUUUUUAUAUCAAAACAUAGCAAUUCCUUGAAAGAUUUUUUUAUAAACUUUCUUUGAAAGUUUUGAGAUAUCAUUUUAGAAAAAAAAUAGUUUUGGAGAAAUCAUUAAAAUGAAACUUUGUUAAAUUCAUUUUUGAAAGAUACAACUUUUGGUAUAGAAAUCUUUGGAAUUAAAACCAAAAUACCUCUCUCUAGAUAUUGUUUAUCUGAUAGAUCAUAGAUAAAUUACGGCAAGGAAAUUUGAGGCAAGAAAUAAAAUCUUAAAAACUAGAAAACAGAGAGGGCGAUAUAGUCAAAGAGAUUGCAAAAAUAUUACAUUUUACCUUUUAAGGAUCCAGCCAAAAAAUAAAAAAAAAUAGAACACAUGUAGAUGAAAAAGAUGGGAAAAGAAAAUACUCCGAAAUAUAUAUAUAUAUAUAUAUGUAUUUUAUCUACACUCCACCUAUAACAGUCCUUAGAGAGAGCUACUAGCAGAAAGAGCAUGCGCCUGCACAACUCCCACCUUAUCUAAUGCUUCGUGGAAACUCUUCACCAGCAUUUACUGCCAUUCAAUAUCUAUAAGUUGAACCAGAUGAUGGCGGCACAGGUGGCAUCCGAGUUGGUGUACGCCGGCUGCUGUUGCUUGAUCCUGAGCUUGCUUCCCAAUCCUGAGAUGGAUCACUAUUCCUUCUACUGUGCGACCUUGAUGAUCCUCCAAACGACCCACUGGCACCGCCAUUCCCUGCAGACUCGAACGCUGUUCUCCAGUCGUCUCCCACUGACGACGAUCCACUUUUCCUGGAGCUGCUUUCUGCACAAAUUCAACACAAACAGAAUUUUGUUACAUGGAUCGGUCAGUCCGUCCAAAAAGAUAAUAAACAACACAACCAAUCGUUCUGUCAUUGCCUGAUUCACCAUCAUCAGACCAGCCUGAUGCAGCAGCUGCUCGGUUAUCAUGGAUGCCAAGCUUUCGAAUGAGUUUCGAAAGUAUAGAAGACUGCUUCUGAGAACGCUCCCGUUUGCGCUUUACAUUAUGGUCCUCUUGAAGCACCUCCUCGAUCUCUGCAUAGCUUUGAGCACUGCAAGCAAACACACAAAUGUGCAAUCAGUCAAACUCGAGAGCCAAUGCAAGUCUGAAACAACCUCAUAUUGGUGAAUAAUAUAAUGUAAGUGUACGAACCUAACGGAGCUAUACAGCUGGUUGAGCAUGUCUUCCUUAGCUUUCUCAACUUGACAAAGUACGACUGCCUACUCAAACAAGUAAAAAGGUUAGAGCAGAUGUCGCUUUACCAAACUAAAGUUAGCAGGUGACUGGCAUCUACAGAAAGAAGGGUUUACUUUUGGGACAUUGGCUCCAAGACUGUUAAGAACAGCUUCCACAUAGCCACGCACUUCUUGUGACAUCCACCGCAGCUCUUCUUCGGGGUCUGCAGGUCUUCGAACCAUUGUAUCCUACAAAAUUUCUCAAUAAGACAAGCUAAAUAGAAGAUGAAUCUUGGACGGACCAACUUUAUCUAUUUGGCGAUGAAGAAAUAAUGUCAAGUCUAGGUCCAAUGUCCAAAUCUUGAACACGAGCAAGUGCAACUCAUGUUAGGUCUACACUAGUUUGGUAACUAGCAACACUGAAUAAGAAGGAAGUCGCUACAGUGACUCACAAGUGAACCAUCUGAUAAACUCUGGCGCAUAGGAUGCCCAGGUUCCGUCACUUGACCUCCUUUGGCUUGGAUAACGGUCCUCAGCUUAUUGAGCCACUCAACCUUCUCUGCCACACUCUCCGCUUUUAACAUGAUAGUGCUCUGAGCUGAAAGUGGAAAACUUGGAUUAUUAACUUGCAUUUCUAGGCAAGAAUGUCAAUGAUCUAAUUGACUAUUUGGUGAUUCACAGAACAAGUAGAUAACAUCAUUGAUAGGACAGCCAAGCCAAAGAGGGGCUACAGACCUUUCAAGACAGUCUUGUAUGGAACUCUAGUGGUAAUCUUAAAAAUGAGAUGGGUUCCCUUUUCAGAAGACUUUUUAUCCUUGGAACUCUUCGAUGAUGACUCUUCUUCUUCAACAUCCUCGAUGCUACAUUCCUACUUGGUGCAUCAUAAAAUUCAGUCCGUGAUCACUAUCAUGCAUGUAAAAGAAUUAUUGGUAAUGCAAUAGUAACUUGAAAUCACCCACUCACACUGACCGUACUAAUAGCUCAACACGUGUCCAACACUGUUCAACUUCAAGAUCAAAUUAUAAGUACAAUAGGGCACACAGGCAAACAAAAAUGAAGUCCCAGAAACAUGAAAAUUAUUCUGAUUCGAGCACUGCGCACAGGGUAGCUCAUUGGUCUUCGUAACGUCCAGAACCUAGCACAACCACACACAAAUUCCCUUUUCUUUUCAUAAACAAGCAUUUGUUUUUCCAGUGAAAAUUUUCUUCCUUGAAGUCUACUACACCUACUUUAUAUGAGUUUUAGAACAACUUUGACCAGGUCAUGAAAAAAGAGCAUCUGUGAAAAGAUACAUGUUUACCUCCAACGUAAUGACACCACGGAAGUGUCGUUCUUCUUGUUUCUUGGUGUACCCUAGCUGCAACAGUACUGAACCUUGUGAAUAGAAUGCCACUGAAGUAAUAAGGGUACAGAGCAAGAGAGGGAAAACCAAAUAUGGCAAGAAACAAAACAAGAAAAAUGGCAUUCAGCAUAAAAGCAGUAACAGCCUACUGGUAAACUGUAAUCUAUUUCAUUUUGCAAAAGUGUACUAGAUAGCCAGACCAAAUCUAAUAUGACAUAUAUAGCUUCUACAGUUUCUCUAUUGGACAUCAACUAAGUAGAGGGACGCAAAUAAAGAUAUUCUCCCCCUAAUUAGAACUUAUAAUGCACAACUUAGAAUCAUAGGGUACCUACACACUUGCCUUGCCACUUUUUUCAUUCAGAACAAACCACCGCCUACUCCAUCCAUUUGUCUUCCCACUUUUCUUGAACAGAAACCCUGCAGACACAGUAACAAGCAUAAGACACAAGCAGCAAAACAAUCAAACCAACUAGUUUGCCAUCAGUGCACACACGGUACUUCUGUAAAAUAUCACUUGAAGCAUUCCUGUUAGAGUUGUGGACUGUACAUGCACAAAGUGACCCACACAAUAUAUAAUGAAGAAAACUUUGAAUGAUUGCAAACAUCCAACAAAUAGGCUUUCUGAGGGUUAAAAAGGAAAAUAUAACAGAGCAAAACUAAAUUGUUACCCAAAAAAACCUGCUACUUUGCAUUUAAAGUUGUGGCCUUUUUCACCAUUUUCUCAAAUCACAUAUGUUUAGGUACAAAAGCAUCUCAUUUGAAAUCACUCGGACAGUAUUCGUGUAACAGUUCAAGUAAACACCUGCUGUUAUUUCACCACCUGGUCCGGCAGUUUUCAAGGUGGAUCCUUCCUGUGGCUCUUUAUCUUGCUGACCAAAUUUUUCCUUCAGUGACUUCAAGGUUCCUCCUGACUGUUGUCCUCCCAUCUGAGGACUAGUUGUCUAGAGGUAUAGACAAAAUAAAAUGAAGUAAAGCAAAAAUGUAAGUAAUAUAGACCAACAUCCGAAUAUGCAUACCCUAUUCUGUAUGGAUUGUUCAGCCUCCAUAGCUUUUUUAGAGGAUUUGCUCUUUACUUCUUCUUCCCUUCGUUGCCUGUCCAUUCUAAAACAUUCCGACGUUAUAGUUUCAGCAGGAGACAAAACUGCACAAACUACAAAGUUAAUCAAAAAGAAAGUUCUGAAAACAAACAUAUGCAGGAACUUCCCAGUCCGGCAAAAAAAAGUGCAGAGAGAGAGACUUGAAAGAAGCAUUCAUAUGCAAUGGUAAACAAAGAAGCAUUCAGUCAAAAUGACACACACAAGCACGCAUAUAGACAGUUACAAAUGGCCUGAAGCAUCAUUUGAGCUCAGAGCUACCUUCUCUGUACUAAACGAAUAAAAUGUUGAGGUGGAACAAAUGCACGCUCCAUGUCCACAAGAGCAACCACCAUCUUUUUAGCUUCAUUCUUGAAUCCCUCCAAUGCAGCAGUUGCAAUCGCCACAACCAGAAAAUUUUGAUUUUGUUAGUUCAGACAACAAUACCUGAAUAUUUUCUUAGCUCCUACUCAACCCAAAAGGCGGGGAUCUCUGUGCCUUUGCUAGACUAAGGUGCAAAAGCGCCAGGCACUCAAGGUGAUUCAGUCAGUGGCUUCCCACAGUAAAAAGAGGUGGCUACCUUGAUACCAAAAUCCUCUACAACAUUUCCUCCAUAUUUUCCAUUGGCUAGUUCUUUUCUUUUAUAUGCUGAAAAAAUUAUGUUAUUUCCUUCCUUGAAUUAAAGCUUAUCAGAAUUCUAAUGAGAAAUAUAUAGUCAUAUAUUGACUACGAUAAACAAGAAACAUACAGCAUUAACAUACUAUACUAAUAAUCAUAUUUGAAACGAGAUUUAAUAAGAGCAGUAUCACCUCUCUCUUAAAUGGAGGAUAUCUUCCAAGGCCAGGUGUCGCGUUAGCAGCAGAAGACACUAGAUCCACAAGCACCCGAUGCACCUACUUGUAUCAUCUGAAUUUUAGUUCUUACAGUUGUAAAAAACUAAGACUAAAUAUCAACAUAUCAGCAUAGAAAUGAACGCAUCUUAAUCAUCCAACAGACUUUGGGAGAAUUUUUAACAUCACGGUCUAUACAAACGACAUAAUGAGCUGUUAAAUGAAUAUACACGUUACGAAUAAAUAAAUACCUCAUCUACGCAUAACAGUGAGGGCUCUUUUGCCAACUCUAGAACACCUUUUAUUAAAGAUCGUAAACCUUUCUCUGGAGAUAUUAGAUAGGGUUGAUAACCAUCUGCUUCUAGGACAAUCUGAUACCAGGCAGAGAGGCGAUUUGUGGAAUUAUUCAAACAAAAAACCUCAAUCAAGAAUCUCACAAAUAGAUCAUAUAUACAAACAAGAAAACAAGUACCUUUUUGACAUUACUUAUGUCAAAAUGCCUAUCUAAGGGAAGCUGUUUGAUCCUGUUUGGAAAAUUUCCCUCGAAACUUGCUACAAGUUUCCAGCCAUUACCCUGCAAGUAGAACGUGCCAACUUAUGAUCCUGGUUAUCUACACUUGUACAAACUGGAGAAAUAAGGGUACUUCACAAGAAACCAUUAUAAGAUAAAAACACUGGUAUUCUGCAUUCGUCCGUAAAUGAGAAUACUUAAGGUAGCAUUACAACUAAUCACCUCACCACCAGCAAGGUGCUGGAGAAAUUUUUCCUCAAAUUCACGGCAAAGCCCCAAAGCUAGAGCUCUUGUUCCUUCAGAAAUAUCCACCAUUUGUUCACCAAGCCUAACUAAUUCAUCCUGAACAAUUUGGGACUUGCCCUGAAGCCUGACAUCAGUAGGUACAAGCCACGGCAUUAGAUCACAGGUUGCUUGAAAAAAUGUAGAGAUAUUAUUAAUGUAGUUUCCAUAGGUACAUAGCACUUUCUCAUACAUCAACAGAUAGAUAAACCAAGCAAAUCAUAAACAGCAAUUGCUUCGCACAGAAAAUAACUAAAAGAAGAAAAAGUCAAGGAGCAUCAAGAAAACUAGGAGCGUCAAGAAAACAUUACCCAGAGAGAACACUAGGAAGUCUGAGUUUCACACGAUUGCGGAUCUGACCAGCUAAGGCCUCCACAAGGGCUACUCUCCCAAGUUUGUUUUGUGGUGCUCCAGUCAAUAUGGAUUUUAGACUUUCACUCUCAGCUAGCCAAGCAGUUUCUAAGGAACUCUCAGAUGAACCACUUCCUGAUUGUGCUGAAGCUAUAGAAACAGAUUGACCAAUUAAAGCAACCCAAGGGAUAUCGGAUGUCUUAGGAGGUCCUUGAUUCAUAAGGAGUGCCUGAACAGCUGCAAGUGCUUUUACCUCUGUAGCUGCUUGGUCAAUUUUACUGAUAACACCAACCGUUCUGGUGCCUAUUAUGGAGCCAUAAAUAACAGAAAAUUAAAGACUGAACUUAGGCGUCAAAUGAUGCUAGCUUGCAAUAACUAAUAGAAGAGAGGAGUAAGAUGUAACAAGUUUCUUUCUCCAUAACAAAAAACAAUGAAGACUAGAAAUGAACUUACUCUCUGAAUCGUAUUCCUUUGCAACUCUGAGUGCUCUGGAUGAUGAAAUUUCAGGUGCCUGAAUAGCAGGUAUUACCACCAACAAGAUAGCAUCGUUGUGUUGGACAUGCUCACCAAUCUGUAAUCAGCCAAACAAUCACAGAAGUCAAAGAGCCAACGGAUAACAGCAAGGGUCUGAGAAAUUGAAAUCGCCUUACUUGGAAACAAUACAACAUCAUUGCAAGAUCAAGGAAAAAUGAAUUAUAAUUGUAUUCAAGCACUCACCAGGGACUCAUCCAUGAUCCUUUGGUCCAGUCCAGGCAAGUCAACCAAUUUUAGUGGUGGAGCUGUAGAUAAUUAACCAUAGUAAGAAUUACUAUAGAAUUAGAGAAUGAUUGAUGAUUUUAUUCAUUAGAAUCCUAGGUAUUUAUACAGUAGGAAUAGUCCUAGAUUAGGUAAUUACAUAGGUUCUACCUAUCCUAUCAUAAUCCCACUAAUCCGGGAUUCUACUUACUAUUAUUAUAGGCUGAGAUUAGGCUAAUCUAUACAGCUAACAUCUGACUAUACUAAUCAUAUCCUAAUCAUAUCAUAAAUCACAUAAUUCUACACUCCCCAUCAAGCUUGGUUGUAAAUAUUUUUAAGGUCAAGCUUGCACUGAAGCUUCUCAAACGUGUCCCGUGUGAGAGCCUUUGUCAGAAUGUCGACAAUUUGUAAUCUGGAAAGAACAUAUAUCAUCUCAAACUCCUUGUUGUUCACCUUCUCAUAAAUAAAUUGUCUAUCCAGUUCAACGUGUUUAGUACGAUCAUGGUGAACUAGAUUUCUUACAAUAAUUAAUGCUGCUUGACUGUCACACAGUAGUUUGACAGAGUCUUGAUUGUCCAUUCUCAAUUCCUGGAGGAUUCUUUUCAACCAUACACCUUCACACAUUCCUUCUGCCAAUGCUCUAUAUUCUGCUUCUGCACUGCUCCGGGAAACCACUGACUGUUUCUUACUACGCCAUGUCACGAGAUUUCCCCACAUAUAAGUACAGUACCCUGAAGUAGAGCGACGAUUUGUUAGUUCCCCAGCCCAGUUUGCAUCUGUAUACACGGAUAUAGCUCGCUCUAAAUGUUUCUGGAAGUAUAAUCUAGUUCCAGGUGUACCCUUUAGGUACCUCAGAAUUCUCAUUACAGCCUCCAUAUGCUCUUCGUUUGGACUGUGCAUAUAUUGGCUCACAAUACUGACAGGCAAUGCGAUGUCAGGUCGAGUGUGAGCCAGAUAUAUUAGCUUUCCUACUAAUUUCUGAUAGCUCCCCCUCUCUACAGGAGCUACUUCUGGAUCUUGACUAAACUUCAAAUUAGGCUCCAUAGGUGUGCUUACAGGUUUGCAACCACUCAUCCCUGUUUCCUGUAACAAAUCCAGCACAUACUUUCUUUGAGAUUGAACCAAGCCUUGACUUGAUCUUGCUACUUCAAUACUAAGGAAAUACCGCAAAUUUCCGAGAUCCUUCAUUUCAAACUCCAGGGAUAACCUUUGUUUGAGAUCCUUUAUCUCCAGUUCAUCAUCUUCUGUAAUGAUUAUAUCAUCUACAUAUACUAUGAGAAUAGUACGUUUUCCUGACUGAUUAUGCUUUAUAAACAUAGUAUGAUCUGUUUGACACGGAUAGUAUCCAGAACCUCUUACAGCCUGAGAGAACCUUUCAAACCAAGCUCUAGGUGACUGUUUUAGUCCAUAUGAUGCCUUCUUGAGCAGGCACACUCUUCCUGGUUCAGUAGUGACCCCUCCUGGUACAUUCAUGUAGACCUCUUCCUUUAGAUCCCCAUUUAAGAAUGCAUUCUUGAUGUCUAGCUGGUAAAGUGGCCAAUCCAGAUUAACAGCAAGACUGAGAAGAACCCUUACUGUAUUCAAUUUUGCUACGGGUGCAAACGUCUCCUCGUAGUCUACUCCAAAUGACUGAGUAAAUCCUCUAGCCACAAGUCGUGCCUUGUAUCUAUCUAUUUUCCCUUCAGACGUGUAUUUGACAGUGAAGAUCCACUUGCAAUCAACAGUGGUCUUUUCUGAUGGUAGGGUUGCAAAAAUCCAGGUUUUAUUCUUUUGCAUCGUGCUGAUUUCCUCCAUGACUGCCUUCCUCCAAUGAGGAAUUUUCAUAGCCUCCUCUACCGUUUUUUGGAAUCAUGACUGCAUCAACACUACUCACGAACUCCUUGUAUUUCUCACUGAGAUUCCCAUAUGAGACCCACCUUUCAAUGGGAUGGUUUGUGCAAGCUCUACUACCCUUCCUUUUUGCAAUAGGGAGAUUCAUUGCUCAGUAGUUUCAGUAGAUAUGUCAGGGUCAUUCUCUUGGUUGUCUUCGGAGGCAGGUUCCUCAUUGGUUUCUUGGCUAGUUUGAGUGUGUGAGAUGGUUGUAUUCUUCUUCUGACUAGUGUGAGAAUCUAUCUUGACUAGCAAAUAGACUAGUGCGAGAUUCAGAAGCACAUGUGGAUGAUUUUUUUGCUGUGUAGUGAGACAUCAUCUGCUGAGGAUUUCCAGUUGUUCCCUUGUCAGCUGAGCUAUGGUGUUGGUUUGUUCAGUGGCAGCAGCAUGAGCCUGAGCCUCCCUUUCUGCUCUAGGCUUCCAGUCAACGGGUUUUCCGUGCAACUUCCAGCACGUUUCUUUAGUGUGACCUGUCUUAUUGCAGUGAGUGCAGUAUGAUCGUGGUUUUCCAGACUUGGUGUAGCUCCGUCUGUCGGAGCUUCCACUGUACUGACUUGCGAGAGCAGACCCCUCGGUAGUUGUCUUAGGUUCAGUAAUCAUGAUUCUUCGGCGACUUUCCUCCCAACGAACUUCAGCAAAUGCAUCUUUAGCUCUAGGCAAGGGUGUACGUCCCAUGAUUCUUCCCUUCACUUCAUCAAGUUCUUGGUUGAGACCAAGGAGAAAUCGAAUGUUCCUUUUUGUUGCCAAGAUCUGUAGAUAAAGUUCCGCAUCCUUUGUGCUGGUCCAUAUGUGCACAUCAUACAUGUCUUGCUGCAGCCAGUACUUGCUUAACUCAUCAUAGUACUGUGUAACAGUCUUCUCCCCUUGGUUUAGAUUGUGUAGUCGUAUCUCCAGACCGAACAACUCUGCAUUAUUCUCCUGUUUUGAGUAUGUAUGACGAACACUCUCCCAGAUUUCAUAAGCAGUCUUAUGAAGGAGAAACUUCUCUCCGAUUGAAGUGUUCGUGAAAUUGAACAGCCAAGACUGGACCAUGUUGUCCUCGAUAUCCCAGGUGAUGAAUGUUGGAUCAUCCUUAGCUGGUUGAACCGUCUUUCCAGUGAGAUAUCCCUUCUUGCCUUUUUCCUGAGAUGAAUUUGAGUACGGAUGAUGACCAUUGAAGGUAGUUAUCACCAGUGAGUCAGUGAUUGGUGAUGCUGCCAACGACGGUAUCCGAGAUGGUAGGAGCUUGAGGUUGAGAUUGAGUGUUGUUCCCCUGUGUUGCGGUAGAACCGGAGACCACCUCGGAAUUGUCCAUGGCUGGGACUUCUUCAGGCAUGAUGACAGUGAGAGUAGUCAAGUUUUAGAGAGAAAGAAUGGAGAUGGAUCAGGGCUCUGAUACCAUAUAGAAUUAGAGAAUGAUUGAUGAUUUUAUUCAUUAGAAUGCUAGAUAUUUAUACAGUAGGAAUAGUCCUAGAUUAAGUAAUUACAUCUACCUACCCUAUCAUAAUCCCACUAAUCCAGGAUUCUACUUACUAUUAUUAUAGGCUGAGAUUAGGCUAAUCUCUACAGCUAACAUAUGACUAUACUAAUCAUAUCCUAAUCAUAUCAUAAAUCACAUAAUUCUACAAUUACAAAGGUGGAACUCUAAUCCAAGCAUCCCAUCUUCUGAUCAAUGCAUGUCUUGCUCCAGGGUACUUUCAAUUUUGUAACAUAAAUUACAUGAAAGCAGAAAUACAUCUGAUUGGCGCAAUAUCACUCUCCACUCUUCUCUACUGUUCAUUCUUGGAUGUGAAAACGUCAACUGACUAAAUAAUGAGUUCUUGAGACCAAUACGGUGAAAAAAGUUUACCUGUACUAGUUUGAAGCUUCAAAGAAAUUUCCUCACGACUCCUGCCUGAAGAGCUCUUGCUUAGCCUAUCCUGUAGAGACCGCCGAAGAGCACCUAUGAUAUGCCAAAUAGUAAGAAGAAACCAUCUGUACUACCAUGAACUAAUGUAGAAUGAAACUGUCUCAAGACAUAAUAGCCAAUGAAAUAAUAGUAAGAUCUCUUACUUGCAGAAACCUGUUGAGUUUUGUUGUCGAUUUGCAAAAUAAUCGAUCUGCUGUUUACAGAAGUAUCCCUACUCAAGUUAAUACAUAUUGGAGCACGAGUAGCACCAUUUUCCCCUGUUGGCUGUACGCAAAUAACAAUAAUACAAGAACAUAAUAGGAAGAUGAUAGUAUCAAUAAUGAGGACAAUCACAUUUCAAGUAAUGCUAACAAAAGAACUCGUGCAGGUCAAUACCAGAACUGGAUGCCCAAUCAAACUAUUCAAUACAGCAGAUUUACCAGAACCCUGUACACAACCACGUCAAAAAAGAAAAGAAAAGCAAAAUAUCAGAAGCAAAUAUAACAAGUAGCAAGGACGCGGGGCGUGACUAGUUGUAAGGUUGAUCCCACGAGUGUGAGUUGUAUUUAAACAGCUAAAUAUUUCUCUAUUAAAAUUAUGACCAAAAUUGGGGUUCGAAAGACAACUUUCCAUGCAUUCGACAGAUUUGACACCAUCCACACCAUUUCAACAGAUAUUCAACGCAAUAUCAAUAUCCUCCCCUAUCGAACACCAAUAGACCGAGUUGAUAGAACUUACGACAUUGCCAAGAGCGACGACGUUGAGAAAAGUAGUAGGACGUCUGGAAGAGGAAGAUGAUGGCGUCUCGUCUACUUCUUCGUCAGCAAGCACAGAGGAUGCUUGGCGCAUCGAGUCUGACAGUUGUGACAAUUCAUCGAUCGCCUCCAUAUCUGUCAGCGCAAUAGAUGAGACAAUAAACGAAAAGGAAGAGAUAAGAAAUCAUCCGAUGCGAGAGGCAAUAAUCAGAAUGAUCAGAGCGGUACCGGAAGAUUGGAUGGCGAGCGCAAACAAAACGAAGAAGAAGAUCAGCAAGAUGUUAGGCAAAUAUUGAAAAGAUGAUCAUCAGUUAUGUUGCUUCGUGAUCAUAGCUGUUUCGUCGGUUUAAAAUUACUCUCCAACGCAUUUGUGUCUCUCAAACGGACAUGAAGAAUUGGAGAUCAGCAACUGAAAUGGUAGGGACGCCGACGAAAAUUCCGGCGGGAGAAAAAGGACGAGGGGAGAAGUUCAAGUGUGAGGUGGAUCUCUCUACGACAGUCCUCCCGCAAUGAAAUUGAAUACUAUUUUUUAAUUAGUGCGAUCAAACUUCCACAUCCACACUACUUAUUCGGCAGUGAUUAAUAGAAACAAUUCUUUUUCUUCAUAUCAAUUACAGUUUCAAACAGUGUAUAGUUGCAGCUUAAAGGGCAACAAUAUGGAAAAAUAACCAACUAUUUUGCUUUCUGAGAUAUUCUUCUAUGGCCUCGUUUGAUUUCUUCUUGUUUAAAUAGAGACAUUUAACUAAAUUUCUAUAUUUAAAAACUGAUAUUCUAAGCCCAACCUAGGAUCAGUGUGCAAAAAAGACAUCACUUUCGAGAAAUACAUUUUGUGAUACUGUGUUCAAAAUAUUUCAACAAAACUAGACCGUUGUUAGCGUUGAUCGUUAAAAGUGAUAACAAAUUUAGAUGCAGUUAUAAUGGCGAUGAGUUGGAUCUUCAGAUCAGCUUCAAUUGAAGUCCAUGUCAAAUUGGACUAAGAAUUUUGGUUUAUGGUUAUCGGGUUACCCUAAAUGAUAUUAUAUUGCUCCAACGUUUCCUCCCCAAGCUCCCUCCCGCUAAGCUAAAAUUCUUAUCCCCGCUCCUCAUUGUCAAGGCUGCAUGCCUUCUUCUUGAAACCGACAGUAUCUGCAUCGGAUUCGAAUUCCAUUACAUGGCUAUCGGCAGGAUGGCUUUAAUUUCAACCAUUUUGUCAAACCGUGCGCUUCGAUUUCUGUAUCUAGAGCAAGAAAAUAUUCCUCUGAUCCACUAAAUUCCUAAUAACUACGACUACUUUUAAGUUGUUAAUAAUUACGUUUAAAUUGCUAAUAAAUAUGAUUAUUUCUAAGUUGCUAAAAACCUAUGUCUAAGUUGGUGAUAUGUAUCAAGUCUAGUUUUGAGGCAGUCAACUCGCGUGUUUGACCUAGGGAAAAAAGUCCGCUGAAACCAUACGUGAUAUUCCGGAUAUCGCAUACCAAACGACACCUAAGAUUUUGACACAAAAAUUAUUCAAAACCAAGUCAAGGCCUUGUUUGGUAUGCGAUAUCUUGAAUAUCAUGAUAUUCGAAAUAUCUCCACAUAUUGGAUGCUAUUAUAUUCCAUGAAGAUAAAUAUAAAUCUAUUGUUUGAGAUGUGAUAUUAGAGAAGAAUGAAGAAAGAAAGAGAGUGAAAUUAUGAAGGGGAGAGAGUUACAAUUAUGUCAUUAACAGAACGUAAAAAGUGAGGGCAAAACUUUUUAUCGAAAUGAUAGUUUGGGUGAUAUUCAAUAUCACUUCUUUUAGGUAAAUAAUUAUCACAAUUCAAGUUAUGGACAUGAAAAUAUCUUAAGUCCAUUUCCAAUGUUUGGGACUAAAGUGUCAAAGUGCUAAAUUAUAGUAUCAAAAGUGCUUCAAUGUUUGGGGCUAAAGUGCCAAAGUGCUAAAACUCAAAAUUGAAUCUCAAAUUUAGCUCAACCAAGUGCUAAAAUGUCAAAUUUAGCCCACUGAUCUAGGGCUGGGAAUUUCGGGUCCGGGUAUACGGUCUAACCGAUAACCGACCGGUCAAACAAGGGUAGCGAGUACCCUGAUAACCAGAUUUUGAUGUGUUAGAGCCAGGUGUGGUCAUCAUUUCACCUCUUUACUAGUUAUUGGGUUGGUUUUGCGGGGGUUAAAGCAAAAACUCUGCGGUCAACCGGAUAUAGCCUACCCGGACACUCCAACCGGUUCGUGAUCGGAUAGUGAUUUUAGUAAUAUGGUUACCCGAAAAUCCAGUUUGACCCGUUAUAGGUAACCCGAGCCCGAACAGUAUCCCAGGCCUACACUGAUCUAACAGUUUGUAUUCAUAUAGAGGGUUUCUGGGGAUCUAUGAUUCUUUAUCGAUUUUCCUAUUUUUUUCUUUUCGUCAUAACUUUUUUUUUGGAUUAUUUUUAUAUCAAAAUUCCUAUCUACCUUUUAAAGACUAAUAUAAAACACUCAAUUUUGAUAAUAUUUUAAAACUUUAAAAACCAUUUAAAAAGUUAAAUUUAGCACUUUAAUUUGGCACUUUAGCACUCACUAUUAAACCAUAAACACUUUUCAACGUCCUAAAGAGUCAAAUUUAGCACUUUAAUUUGGCACUCUAGCACUAACCAUUGGAGAUUGUCUAACUAGCUAUUAUACCAAACGAGCCUAAAAGAGAGGCCCCACCUUAAGGGUGUGUUGGACUGAUUGUUAGCACGGGGCCUCCAAAUUAUCGGUGCCUCAAAUAUUUCAGACUAACGAUAUUCGAUUUGGUGAUAGAGAAUAAAAUGCAAUCUUCUGAAUCUUUGACAUCAAAUGGACUUGCCGUGUAGCGGUAAAUUGUUGGAAAUAAUUCACUUAUAUAGCGGCAACACCUUGGUUUGAGUCACGUCCAUAGUAUUUUUUUGCUAAAUUGUUUAGUCUUUGGUUUUUUUAUUAGGAUCUUGAGGAGAGAUAUCAAGAUAGCGCCCUAAACUAGACACAAAAAUGGGGGGAGGGGGAGACCGGAAGGGAACCAUUAUCAGAAGAAUAUUAAGAUCCGCCUACCAAGAAGGUGAGGUUAUAAAGAAGGGAGGAAUGAUGUAAGAAUUGUAAUGCAGAUUUUGCAGUAUUAUGUGUGGUGUUGUUAAGGUUGCUAUGAAUAUGAAAGCAACACAUGGUUGGGAAUUGUAUAAAAAAAAUCUGAUUUCUUAAAUUAUUGCACCUCCCACGGGUGGAGAAUAUUUGUUUGUGUUACUCGAAAAAUGACAAGUUCUAAAUCACUAUCAAAACUAGUGUCUAAAAUAUUUGUUUGAAUACACCACCUCAUUGCCUCACGUAAGGCUAAGGCUUGUGUAAUAAAUGAAUCAGAAAAACGACAAAGCUUCUACCCUCUUGAAAUAAAAUUGUCACAAAAUGAUUGCGGAGUACAUAGUCAACAGGGCCACCUACCGGGAUUUGUGUCGCACCAUCCACAUAAAUCCUAUAGCGAUAAAGAUUCGGUAAUGGUCUGGGAUUUAUUUUAUUCUGAUUAGAUAGCACAACGAAAUGUGCUAGUUGAGAUUUUACGUUUUCGCCAUUGAUAAAUUCAUUGUAUUGGUAUCAGAACUGUCCUUUAAGGGAACUAGGAUGAUCUUCUAUGUGUUGGAAGACUACUUUAUUGCGAGAUAUCCAUAAUCUCUAUUAGUAAAAAAUGAAUCUUUUUGUUAUGUGGUGAGGUUGGAAAUUAUAUUUUUUUCAGAAUUAUGCAAAGCCGUCAGAGAUUAAUAAAUGUAGAGGAUAUUCAAUUUUUGACCCAUUAUGAAAACAAGUGAGCAAUUCAAAUAUAGGUGUUCAAUGGAUUAUGUUUUCAAAAUACAAACAAGGCAAAUUUCAUCAACUUUGAUUUUUCUAUAUCUCAAGUAAUCCCUAGUGAGAAGAAUGAUCAUAUUAGUUGAUCAGGUAUGUAAGAGACGGGUAAGGGGAUAGCAAAUAUUUUUUGAAUAUCUGAAUCAAAAAAUAUUUGUUAUAAGAAAGGUAUAUUCCAAGUAUUAUUUAUUAUGAACUCUGCGACCUUUGAAAUAAGGGAAUAUGUGCUAAGAUGUGGUAAGAGAGUGGUCUUUGUGGCGGGUAGAGAGAUCCAAUGAUCUAAAAGUGCAUCAAUUGCAUCCCCAUUUCCAACCUGCCAACAUAAACCUUGAAGUAAAAGAUUGCGUCUGUGGAGAAUACUUCUUCAUCCCUAUGAAGGUUUGAUCCUAGAUUUGCUUGUAAUAUCGAGGUCGUUGGAAAGUAUUUCGCUUUAUACAUUUGCGAAAUGAUUAAAUUGGGUUCUUAUAAAAUGCACCGACAUUGUCUAGCCAGUAAUGUGACACCCGGAGCUUCGGUUCAGUUGAAAUUUUUGAUUUGAUUUAAAUCUUACUCGAUGAGUAGAAGUCGGGAGUGGGAACCGAAUUAAUUUAAUUAAUUUGAGGAGCUGACUCAACAGUUGACCAGGUAUUAAAAGCUUGCAAGGCUCGAGGUUAUUAUCGAGUUGACUAAGUCAAUCAGAAGAGGAGUUAAUUCUUUGAAUUAUUAGUUAUGAGCUUAGAGAGUUUUGGACCGCUAGAUGGAUCUAACGAUGAGGAUUUGUCUCUAUGCAUCCAUGGGAAAGGAGUGGCUGCCAUGUUAUAUGAACUUGGGCCUCAGGUUAUGGGCCUUGAGCUGUGAGGAUUAUGGUAAAUAGUGAGCUUGGACCGUCGGAUGGGCCUAACAGUGUGAUGAGUUUCUGCUAUCAAUUAAGAUUGAUGAGGCCUUCAGAUCGGUUGUUUUCCUGAAACGUAACUCCCUCGAUUCAGUAAUGAGAGCAGAUGAGGGAUGAUGUUGGCGGUGUCGCUUGCCGAUAAAAGGAGAUAGGGAUGGUGCCACUAUUUGAUCGACAUUUCGAGGUCUUGAUUGGUAGCCUCGUUCCGAUCUACACAAGGAGGAGAGAAGUCGCGCGGCGGCUGAAUACUAGGAGACAACGCUGGAUGUAGAGAAAGAAGAUCUGAUCGUCGGUAGUGGGAUUUCGCUGAGAGAGAGGAACGAUGGCGGUUUUCCAAGGCCAGGUAGCGACGGCAACGGAGGGGAGAAGCUUCGGCGGCGAGAGGGCAGCGUUCCAACUCCCAAGAAAGUUGGAGUUCGCUGGUGGUCGGCGGAAACUGGACACAGCUCGCCUGCGGGGACCUAGUCCGCGGGAGAAGAAGAGGGACCAAUCUGCAAGUCCAGAAAGUUAAGUGAAUAAUCUGUGAGUUUGAUUAUUUUUAAGUCUUGCUUCCAUAGUUCUGAACUUGUGGAUGGUUUACAAUUAAGGACUUGGGCCAGUUUUGUCAACGACUGGAAGUUUUGGAUCAGCUAGUGUAACGAAGGCGUUUAGAGGACUAGCGCAACGUUUCGGUCCCAGCAAGUUUCAAAAUAUUGCAAAGAGGUAAAUGGAGCAUAAGUCGAUCAGACUGGAGUUGUAUCUUCUUUUGUCGUGUUGUGUUUUGGGAUCAGGGAUCCCCUUUAGCCCGUUUAUGAAACCUGAGCAAGACUCUUUAGUUCAAUUAGUGGUUCGACCGGGACUCCUAGGGUGGGGUUUCAUAAGUAAUGCCUCAUUAAAAGCCUAUAGGUGUCGAAAACCAAGACCUUCUUCCUCUUUUGGAGAACCCACUGAGUGAGUUUUUCAUCUUCACAUUGGCCCCACUAAAAAUCACUAACCCCAUUAGAUAUUGUUUUCCUUGGUGUAUUUGUGUGUUCAGUCACAGUGACUGGAGUUGAAGGUGGGGAAAGAGCUGGUUGGAGUUUUGAUAUUAGAUGAUAUCAUUUUGAUGUGUUUUCAUACUGGAGUUGUAUCUCCUUUUGUCGUGUUGUGUGUUUUGGAUCAGGGAUCCCCUUUAGUCAAUUUAUUAAAGUACUGCAGUUUGGCGUUUAAUGCUUUUUAUGCAUUGAUUAGUAGUUGAGAAUUGAGUAAGGUUUAGGUUGAAACCUGAGAAGACUUUUUGGUUGAAUCAGUGGUUUGAUCGGGAUUCCUAGGGUGGGGUUUCAUAAGUAAUGCCUGAUUAAAAGCCUCUAGUUGUUGAAAACCAGGACCUCCUUCUUCUUUUGGAGAACCCAAUGAGUGGGUUUUUCAUCUUCACAUUGACCCCACCAAAAAUCACACAUCAUUUGGUGAAAAUGUUCGAUAUUAUUUUAGGUAUUAUAAAACAUCCCAUCGCAUAAACGGGCAUUGCAUAUAGCUAUGAUUUGAUUAGAACCUCCAUACAUGCCGGAGAUAGGAAAGAUUCUCUCCAUUAGUAAUUUUCUUGGAUAUCACCUUCUCAAUGAACUGGAAUGUUGCAAUUCUUGACCUUUGCAUAGUAUAUGGAAGACCAAGAUAUGUAUCAUGAAUGCCAAUUAAGUCAACUCCCAUAAGGUUUCAAAGUUCUAGUUGCCACAAUUGGUUAAUUGCUUUGCAAAAUUUGACAGCCAAUUUUUCUAAAUUAAUCUUUUGUCUACAAGCAAAUUGAUAUUGAUUAAAAAGGGAUCGCAAGGAUUGAAUUUUCUCAACGGAUACUUUAAGGAAUAAAUGUGUCAUCGGUGAACAUUAAAUGUGAGAUAACUGAAGCUCUAUUGUUUAGUUUAACGUUGGUGAGUAAUCCUUGGUCUAGUGCACGAGAGACCAUAAUUGAUAGUACUUAUUAGCAAAUAGCAAAGAGUAAUGAAGAUAAAGGAUCUCCUUGUCUUACUCCACGGGUAGAAGGAAAGUACCCAAAAGAUUUACCAUUCAAGAUCACAUAAAACAUUAUUGUAGAUACAUAGAUACACAUGAAUGGAUCCAUUCAAACCCCUCAUUACUAAAUCCCAUGUAUUUUGAUAAUUCAUAUAGAAAAUGUCAUUCAACUUGGUCGUAUGCUUUUUCCAUAUUCAAUUUUAAUGUCAUAAAUGAAUUGUCACUUUUACCUUUGUUAUCAAAAUAAUACAUUAUCUCAUGGGCGAUUAAAAUAUUAUCUCCAAUAAAUCUUCCAGCUACGAAGCCAUUUUAAGUGGGGUUGAUAAUUUGUGGUAGAAUUUUGCUUAAACAGUUGACUAAUAUUUUAGGUAUGGUUUUAUAAAGGCAUAAACCAUUAGGUCUAAGUUGUUUCAUCCACUCUAUGAUAGGGACUUUGAGUAGUAACGUAAUUCAUGUAUGCUUAAUGCUUUUAAGGAUUUUCCCAGUUCGGAAAAAGUUUAAAAUUGAUUUUGUAAUGUUCGUACCUAUUAUAUCCUAAAAAGUUAGAAUGAAAAUUCUCGAGAAACCAUUGAAACUGGGAGCUUGAUUACCACCGACUGAAAAAUUGUUUCUUUCACUUCUUCUGGAUGAACCGAACGACAUAACAAUGCAUUCAUAUCUGGUGAAACCUAUCUUUCUAUUGGAAUCCACCCAACGAGAGCGACUAUAUUAAUAGAAGGGUGGGAUGUGGAAACUAAUUCCUUCCAUUGUAUUGAGAUCAGCCUGAUCCCGCCCACCGGAGUUUAAUAGUGAGGUUAUAGUAUCCCUCCUAUGUUGUGGUGCCACUUGGUAGUGAAAGAAGGCAGUGUUUUGAUCACACUCUGUUAACCAUUUAGCCUUGAUCUAUGUUUGCAAUAUAGGUCUUCUUGAUAGGCUGGAAUGGCUAGUUCAGAUUCUAAUGAAAUGACCUUUUCCCAACAAGCUUGAAUAAUCCACCACUCGCAGGUUCCUCUCCUUUUGCUGCAGGACUCGAAAUUGGUAUUGCACAACCCUUUAAUUUCAUUAUUCCAGACUAAUGUCAGGAUCCGAAAUUUGCAGUUCAAAUGUUUGUGGAAAGUCCUAUGAGUGAAAUGUCUAUUUGCGAGUUCAUUUCCGCAUCUCCUUAUCAAGAUUAUGGAUUGGUGAUUGUCAUAUGGGGUCGAGGAAUGAAGAAAUGAAAGCUAACAUCAUCUUCAUCUUAGACGUGCUCGGUGGUUAGAUGUUGAGGUAGUGCGAAUUGACGACUCAGAUGGCAAAGGAGGACUUGAAGUUGAGGAAGCUGCCAAGAUACAUAAGCUUUUACGAGAGAUGGAUGGUGAAUUGGUGCAGCUAGUUUGCUGUAGGGAAGAUACAGUUUCCAUAUCGCUUUGGGAAGCAAUCAACGCACCGCAACCGAAUCUAAAAGCUUUGCAGAUUGCGAAGUCUUUGCUGCAUAUGUAUGGUAGCCGAGUGCAUCAUGUCUUCCGUGUGUCCCUGCUCCGUCGCUGCAACGCUCACGAUUCUACUGCCAUUUUAGCAUUUACUCCAAUCACGGUCGACAGAAACCUACUACUCCAACCAGCAGCCAUCUUGAAAACACGUUGGGUGCAUUGGAGUUCCAUGACCGAAUUCAACUAGGCAUUAAGGACAAUGUCGUUGUCUUAGGAGAGGGUAAUGAUAGGGUAAUGGAUCUAAGCCCACGUUGCUCGGUAAGACUACGAAGGCGCAACCCUCGCUUCGUCGGAGAGUAGCAUUUUCGGCCACAACUCAUAUUGUUUCUAGUAGUUUAUUAAUUAGUCAAGUAUGAUGAAUUAGUCUUAGUUGUUGAAUUAGUCUUCCCAUUGAUACUAUGUUGCAAUUCGUAGGAGCUAUCACUUCCACCUUUAGUGAGAUGAUGGAGCAAUAGUGGUGGGAGUUAGUUCCACUCCUCUGUGUAUCUAAGCUUGAUAUGAAAUGAAAUAAACAUGAAUUAAGUAGCAAAGAAAUCCCUAGUUGUUAUUGUUAAGAAAGUAGAACGAGGUCAUCUCCAACGAAGAAAUAAGAGCAAUCGAUUUUAUAUCUUUUCAGUUGUCGGGAAAUAAGAAGAUGCGAAUGCGAGUUAGAGAAAUAGGAGAAUGAUGUGAUCCAUGAGCAAUGUGAUGUGUAACGGAUGUUUCAAGCCAUUCUUCUAACCAAUCAUUAGAUAUAAGGAAUCGGUCUAGUCUUUCUCGAAUAAGUUUUUUGACAUUUUUGUUAGACCAUGUGAAAGUCUCUCAAGAAAAACCGAUAUCAAUCAAUUGUGAAUCUGUGAUGAAAGCGUUGAAGUCGGCUAAGGACCUAGUAUACGGAUCCUUGCCGCCAGAUUUUUCAACUGUAUUGCUUACAACGUUAAAUUCGCCAAAAAUUAUGAAAGGAGCAUCAAGGCCGAGAAGUAAAUUCCGAAGUUGUUCUAAUUAGUGACCUCGAACAUUGACGUCCAUAGAUUGGUAAACACCAAUGAGAUACGUGUUAUUAUUCUCUAGUAGUGACCAUUUAAUUUCGAUGGAAAAGUCAGAUUUAAAGAAUUGUUAAUAUAGAGGGGGAAUUGAAAAUGAUGAUUCUGAUUGUGAUAAAAUUUUAGAAAGAUGUCAAGUCAAAGGUUAAAUACAGUGAAAAGGAUGGUCACCCUACUAUAAGAAUAAGCAAUUUUAGAGGGAAAAUUAAGUAUUUCUGUAUUUGUAGAUGCCCUUGAAUUGUUGCCUACAUCAUUAGUCACGGGAGGAACGUGCCUACUUAAGGUAUUUGGUUGGGGAGCUGUAAAUGUUCCUCCAAUGUUGUUUGGGAUAAGAGCUACAAAAGGAGCAGCAUGACUCAAAGGAAAUUGGUUGAGAAUUUAUAACUGCAUUUCCAGAGAUUCUAGGGCCAUGAACCAAAGAUCCCAGUAAUGGAAGCGAUUGUGGGAUUGUGCAUGAAAGCCCACGUACUACUAUCAAAUUGAGUAGCUAUUGGCCUGAAAGAGAAAAGUAAGAUUUAUAACGACCUUAGAAUAUCUACUUUGUAUAGUAGCUAGUGGGAGGGUGAAGUCCACUCGCAACUUGAAUUGGAGGAUUUGGAGCAGUAAGGAUCAUUGGUAGAGGAAGAUUCGGGUGAUCAUUAUUUCUUAGGCUGUUCCCACGGAAGCUUCCAUAGGUCAAAAUAGCUGUAACUGCUGGAGGGAGUCAUCCAAAGCGGUUAUGAUUGUUCUGUUUUUUAGGACAUGAGUAUAUCAAAUGGAAGUCUCAUGCCAGCAUUGCGAAUAAUCAUUCAUGGUCCUCGCACAUUGGGGUCCAUUUGUAGAUGUUGGUGUGCACACGGAGGAUGGCGAUGUCCUAAAUAACCACAGCGAAAACAAAUCGAGGAUACUUGUUCAUAUUGAUAAAUCAUAAAAUACCAAGAAAAGGUUGCCAUUAAGAUCUUGUCCCUGUCUUGUCUUUUGACAGGUCCAAGUAAACCCAUAGUGACUCGACCCUUGAUGAAGAGUUCUUCAUUACUUCGGUUUUCAAAAAAACCCAUAUAUGAAACAUAACUUAUGAGAGCAAACAUCUUCUUCUCAAAGGUUAAAGUUAAACAUUCGAAAGGUACAUCCACAAAUUUCACCCGAAUCCCCAUAAAAUGAAAGUGUUUACAGAGUUCAGGUGACGGUAUAUCAAAUUCCACUAAUUCGAGUGACAGUAUUUCAAAUUCCGCAGUUUGGAUCUUCGUUUAUUUUUGAACUAAAAUAGUCAGCAUUUUCAGUAAAAUAUAUUCAGAGUGUCAGACAAUAAUCAAAAUUCAUAAGUAGUGCCAAUGAUCUAACUAAUGUUGAUUUUUGUCAUAUCCUUUUGAAUUCUUAAACAAUAAAGUUGCAUUUAGUUAUUUAUUCAAUUUUAAUUUUUGUCUUCUCUUGUCUUCAAUUAAUUUUUAUCCGUCUUUCUCGUAAUUGUUAAACAACAAAAUGAGAAUUAAUAAUUAUAGAUAAUCCCACGUACAUUUUAGUUGUAAUGAUAAUGAAUUAAUAGACUUCGUAUUCAAAAUAAGUUUAUUAUUUGGAAAACUCUUUUGCAUUCUUGAAAUAUUAAUAUUCCUGUCUUGAGAAUUUGAUUUAGAUAGCCCGUUUUAUAGAUUUAAUUUUCACCAUCCUUAUUUAUUUAAUUAUUUUCCAUUUCUAUAAAAAAAAGUUAAUGAAAUUAUCUAAUGGUCACAUCUCAAUUACUAUAACAAUCUCGUAUUCAAAAAAAUUUAGUUUUCUUAUUUGGUAUUCCAGCCUCCUAAAUUAAUAUAUGACUGAUUCGAUCGUGAAUUGGUCAUGGAGCCGAUACCGAGUUGCAGGUUGAUGAGAAUGGUCAAAAUCGGGCGUUGACCCGGUUUGACCCAAAAACCAGCUAGUUAGACCGAAAUCGUUUGUCCGGUUGGACCCAAUUUUUGUGACUACACUUUUUAUUUUUUUAAAAAAUUGGGAGUGAGAUUCAAACCAUGAUCUUUUAAGUAUAGAGGAUGAGUGAUUACCAUCUCUACUAAUAUCAUAAUUUGAUUAAAACAUAUAUAUAAUUGAUAAUAAUAAACAUUAUGACAGGUAAUUAACACUGAAAAGUAGCAUUUUAUCAUAAAUUAAGUAAAUUGUACAUUAGAUACCAAUUAUUUGAUUAAUAAAAAUUUCAAAUCAUUUAUAUAAUUUGAAAAUUCUUAAAAAUGAUUACUCAACCAAAAUGGUUCGGUCUGACUUAACUAUAUUUAUUUAAUAAUUAAAACGGUCCAACUCAGUUUUGAAAACGGUCGAACCCCAUUCGAACCAUCAAACUCUAAACCCCUAAUCUCACCAGUUCAAUCUCCGAUCCAGUUUUCAAAACCUUAAUUUUUAUUCAGAAAUUGUUUAAUUCAAUUUAAAUCAUCUUUGAUGUUUGAAACGAUCAACGACACUACAGUUAACAACCUGUUGGUAAAAAGGUGUGUUUUCUUUAGCUGCGGUAUAAAGAACAAUAAAAGCGUUUUUGGAAGUUUUGGUGAUACCUGUUAGUUUUAGAGCUUGGAAUUUAGAAAGGUGUCGCCAUUUCUAUUCUGCAGAUUCGACGAACAUAUCUACGAUGGCUUGAAGUACUUGGACCAACAACUUAGAACCAUCAUUCCCUAAAAUCAAACCAUUUUUACUAGAAAAAACACGUAGUGUUUAUCUUUUUAAUUGAUAACUCGUUAAUUGCGAGACACUUAUAUUAAUUACUCCAGAUGCAACGAUACAUUGAAGGUUUAAAGUACUUAACUCUCUGGAUUCCAAAAUUCGGAUUGGAGCGACCCAUGGCUCGAGAGGCCAAUGCAGAAGCAAAAUAACACCCAUCUGUUGCUCUUGGUGUAGUGUUUUAACUCUCUUUCUGGUACCAGGAUUCACACUUGUUUUAUAACCUCUUUUCAUCAUUUUGGUUCAGAAAGAUAAAACAUCUGGGACAUAGUAGAUUUUUACUUUUCUUUUAGGCCAAGGUUCAGUCUUUCCAAUGUCAUCAUGCCAUGUUCCUCCCCAUCCAGAAUAACUACCAAACAAAAGUUGACUCGGGUAGAACACAUUCAAGUAGAACCCCAUUGUCCUAUCAGCCUGUAGGGUAAAGCUCACAAAACCAUACCUGAUGCUUCGUUCGGUCCAAUCUCGAAAAACUACUAAAUGCAGCAUACCAGAUGGGUUAGAUGGGUUCAAUUGCGUACACAAUCUACCACUAGCCUCACCGAUUCGAGAACUGUCAAGCAUUUUCCGGCAACUGAAUAUUGCUAAGAUACAUUAUAAAAAAAAAGUACAGGUGAGAUACCGAAGGGGGUAGGGUUGGCAAUUCUGACCGUUUAACCGUUAAACCGACCGUACCCUCACCGAGUUUGACGGUUAUUAAUCACGUUGACUGGGUAUUUUGUGGUUAUGGUUAUAACCGUUAACCGCUACGAAUGGGUAAGGUUAGGUUAUGGUUUCGAAGUAACCGCACCAUCACCGUAACCAUACCCAUAACCAUCCUCAACUCGUAACUUACCCUCUAUUUACCCGUAUAUUAUUAAAGCAAUAAAGCCCAAUACCAUUUGAAUAUCCCAACCCACUUACAUUUUAACCCUAUGUCCCAACGCAAUACUUUUGCUUUUUAUUUCAAGAAACCUUAUCUCUUAACUCUGUCUUUAAGAAUCGCUAAACAUAAAUUCAUCCAUCGACCAUCAUUCAUAAAAAAAAUCAUUAAUUAGAUUCAAACUAGUUAUAUAUGAAAAUGGAACGAUUGUUCUAUUUCAAUUAUCAAUUUCAUUUUGUUUAGUGUUUCAGUACUUACGACUUUGAGAUUCAUGUUUUAUAGUAUUACUUAAAUGCUUCGAUCCUUCCCCUUGCUAGUUUUGGGUUGUAUUUUGAUUUCAAGAACAAGUCACAAGUGCUUUUAGUAUUCUAGAAUGCUAUUGUUACUAUUGUUUGGAAUUAGAUUUGGAAAAAAUUUCGAUGAAUGAAUGUGUAUACAUUUUUUACUUUUCAUUCCUUUUUUUUCUUGCAUAUCAGUGGUUAACCGUUAGGAGGAGCGGUUAUAACCGUAACCGGGUGGGUGUGGGGAUGGAACGAAAUCUAUCACCAAAAUAGAAAUGGUGAUGGUUAUGAUUAAUAACCGCCACGAAGGUGGAUGGAUAAUGGGUAUGCCAUAACCAUCCCGAACCUCCCCGUUGUCAAGUCUAGAAGGGGUGGAUAUGCUUCAGGUUUAAGAGAGGAAAAAAUACACAAAAAUUUUUGACAGAGACAAUAUGAGCAUCAAAUAAGCAUGGGGUUUACAAAUCCUGAUCCAGUAAGGAGAAAUAACUCUCGUUUUCUUCUUCGCAACAACCCAACAAUUUUCCUCGACAUAACUAAUUAAACAAACCAUACUUACUCCUUCAAUUCACCACCUUCGUGCUUACUAAACCGACAUCAUACUGCUCAUUCGGUCCAUGUUUCUCCGCCAACGCCUUCAACGACUCUUAGACUCGGUACAUAGGCUGCCUAUCCUUGGGCCUCGAACCCACGCAGUUCAACGCAACCUUCAAGCACCGAGUGAUCUCCUCGUCGUGGCCCUUUCAGACCAAAGAUUUAUCGAUGCAAUCUUUGCUCCAGCCGGCGAUCACAAGGCUAUUCACCUAAUCGACUAAAUUCCCUUUGAACGCUUCAUGGGCAUUAAUGUUCACAACAUCCAAUGGUGUUUGCCCUGUGACCAAUUCGAGAGGCACAACUCCGCUCCAUUUGAAUACAGAGUCCCGCCUGUCAUAUGCUUGUAAACGAGUAACCUUUCUUCCUCCACAGCGCAGAAUCCCAACAAUGGAACCAAAUUCGGAUGGUGUAACUAUCCUAGCUUAUUCAUCUUAGACCUAAACUGCUUCUCGUUGAGCUUGGAAGAGACGCUGAGUCUCUUCACCGCUAGAGCAGACCCGUCGGGGAGGACUGCCUUGUAAGAGACGCCGGUUCUUGUGCAAAUGAUGAUGUUCUCGAACUCGAAAUUGUUAGUGGCCACAAUCAAAUCGUAGAGCUUAAUCUUGUUAACCGGCUUCUGGAAUAGCGAAACCUCGAUGAGUUUGUGACACCUGAGAAGCCCAAUCCAGCUUGACUCGUCUUUCCUAGCUCCUGCCUUCUUCGCUCUCUUGCCAAACAGCCGCCACCAAAUCGCAAACCCUAGAACCAACGAGCCAGUAAGCCAGUAGCUCCAACAACACCUGCGGCGAUAAUAAUCCCUAAGCUCUUACAACUCAAUCCGCCACACUUCCCAACAGCCGACCGCACAGCUUCCUGUUCCCUGCGAAAUCUUCCACGGGGAAACUGGCCAGAUCCGCCAGAACCGACCCUGAGAGCUUGUUGUUCGCGACGGAAAACGUUUUCAGCUAGAGGUUUAUCCAUCUGAAUCCCUAUUUGACGCCCUAACUUUCGAAUUAAACGACGCCCUAAUUUGAGUAAAUUACAAUAUUAUCCUUUUGUGAAAUCGAAAUCCAUAUAAGUUGUGUGUAUUGACUAGUUCAACCACAAUCAAACACUCACAAACACUCAAAAACACUCUCAAACAUUGAUCAGACGAAGAAAUCGAAGAUCGGAAGCAAACGUUAGAGGUAAGAAAUCGAAAAAAGGUAUUAGAAGGCCCCGGCCGGCCGCUCGUUUCGGCCGAGAGGGGUCCCGGCCGAGCCUUUUUUUUUAAUUAUGAAAUUAAUUAUUGUGCUUAGUAUAAUUAGAGAAUUUCUAGGGUAUGAUUAGUGUAAUUAGAGAAUGUUAGUAAAUAUUUAGAAUAUUUAGGAUUUUGUUAGUGAAUAUUUUGAAUAAUUAGGGUUUUGUUAGUGAAUAAUAAUUAGGGUUUAGNNNNNNNNNNNNNNNNNNNNNNNNNNNNNNNNNNNNNNNNNNNNNNNNNNNNNNNNNNNNNNNNNNNNNNNNNNNNNNNNNNNNNNNNNNNNNNNNNNNNNNNNNNNNNNNNNNNNNNNNNNNNNNNNNNNNNNNNNNNNNNNNNNNNNNNNNNNNNNNNNNNNNNNNNNNNNNNNNNNNNNNNNNNNNNNNNNNNNNNNNNNNNNNNNNNNNNNNNNNNNNNNNNNNNNNNNNNNNNNNNNNNNNNNNNNAGAUCCGGUAGAGGAAGAAACCGAUGGGAUCUAGAAAAUGAGAGGGAAAGGAAAACAAGCGGGCAUUUUAGAUCGGAUGAAGGAGCGAGUGGUCACCGUUUAGCGGCGGAAAGAGGGAGAGGCAGCGAAGAAGAACAAGAAGUUGAAAAUCUACGGCUCCCCUGACCGGUACCCUCCUGUUACAUACCCGGUUAAGUCGUAUCUUGAAGAUGAUGAUGAGGAUGAGGGUCCACCGCCGGGGUUUGAGUACGAUUACACACAGACUUCCGCCCACAUGACUUCUCCGCACAUGACUUCUCCACACAUGGCUUUUCUACACACGAGCUCUCUACACCUCGCUUCUACGGGCUCGUCACAUGCCUCCGCGGGUGUUGGCUUGAGAGGAGGGAAACCUAGCCGACUUGCGCGAGUCCGGGAGGAGGAUGCCGCCAGUGGAGUUGACUGGCAGGGACUGAGUCGUACCUAAGAGCUUACUGCAGGGCUUCCAGACGGUGGACCGAGGACGCCAACAGUGAUCCCGAGCUUCGGAGGUCACAUUGCACACUACUUGUGGGAGUCAGGCGAGGGAUAUAGGGAUCUGAAGGUCUUUAGGUUCCUGAAGCGCCCUAAGCAGUGGGACACUGUGGGCGAGUUCGAUAUCCAAACGAGGACCAUUUGGCCGAUCAUGCAGGAGUCGGGACUUCUUCAUUUGGGCCGGUGCAUGUCGACCCACUAUGAUGAGCCUCUUCUGGAGGCAUUUGUUGAGAGGUGGCAGCCGGAUACUAACACCUUUCACAUGCGGUGGGGAGAUAUGCCGAUCAGUUUGCACGACGUCUUCCACAUUCUCCGGGUCCCGGUGUCUAGACGACCGCUUCAUAAAUCCCAAGCUCUUGUUGAUUUUAGAGCAGGUGUAGCAGAGGCGCUUAGGUUUAGCUCUGCUGCUGCGUUGGAGUACUCGGUUAGGGGCGAGACACUUGGCCCACCACUGUAUGAUCACGACACCAUGCACGAGAGGGACAUGAUCUCCCUUGGAAGCAUAUGGGGGAUGAGACUGCGUACUGUCUUCUUGGAGGUACCCUAUUCCAGGAUAGAUCGCCUGAUCGAUCACGCCUUCUUGGUUGAGAGUACUUCAUGGGUUCGAUCAGUGAUGUCCCGUAAUACGCUUGGGGUGCUGGUGCGCUGACCUGGUUGUAUCGGGAGCUAAGGAAGGCUAGCUGUGCGGAAGCGAAGGCAAUUGCAGGCUAUAUGACGCUGCUUCAGUCCCAGAUAUACGAGUACUUCCCUAGUGUGAGGCCUCCCAGGAUGGUUCGACAGGAGCGUAGGGCAGGAGAUGCGUUAGCUGGUAGGUGGAACAGUGCAGAGACACCUAGUCGGGGUGGCGGAGUCCUACGAGAGAUGUUGGACUACUAUCGAUGCAUCCUCGAUAACAUGGAUUCUCGUUAUGUGAUUUGGCUUCCUUUUGGGCCGCAUCCCGACCUUGAGGUCCCCGUGUCGACUUUUCGUGGUCUCAUCUACUGCACCGACGUAGGUGAGUACUACGAUUCCUAUCGUGUACUCUGACAGUUUGGGUACACACAGGUUGUCCCUCCCUCGAAUGCUGUGCCGCUGUGGGCUGUUAGCCCCCCCGCCAUCCGGACCUAUGCGGUUAAGUGGGCCCCGGCUGAGGAUAGGACUUGGUCGACGCAGGACUUCAUCAAAUUUCACCGGCUACACCUUAUGUUCAAGAGGGCAGUGUCCGGGGCAGAUGGUGCUCCAGGGUACAUGGACUGGUACCUCGAGCACAAUCACCUGAGCAUCGUAGCGUCGGCUAACCCCGCUGUAGGCAUCCCACCUGAGCUUGUAAGUUCGAUUUCACCUUCACAUUUGACGGGUUUAUAAUAUGUACAUGUUAUUUACCUAACUCUUAAUUUAAGAUGGUGCUCCAGGGUACAUGGACUGGUACCUCGAGCACAAUCACCUGAGCAUCGUAGCGUCGGCUAACCCCGCUGUAGGCAUCCCACCUGAGCUUGUAAGUUCGAUUUCACCUUCACAUUUGACGGGUUUAUAAUAUGUACAUGUUAUUUACCUAACUCUUAAUUUAUGCCUUAGGAGUACUACGACCAUAUGGAGGGGAUAUGCAUGCAGUUUCAGGACCUCUACAUGGGGUAUCAGAGCUAGAGAGAGCCGAGAUUAGAGACUAUAGUUGUUGUAUUUUCCUUUCUUCAAAUGCUAUAUCUGAGUGUUGUUUAGCAAUCAUCGUGCUUAUGUUUGUAGUACACGCAAUAACUAUGAGUUCGUAUUAUCUAUGUAUUAUUUUCGUAUUUCUACGCUUUCUUCUACACACAGUGACAAUAAGGGUAUCAGAAGGCCUCGGUGCCUCCCGAAAUAAAGAUUACGGGAGGCAUCGGUGACUCCCGAAAAAAGGUUUAGAGAGGCCUCCCGAAAAAAGGGUUCGGGAGGGCUCGGUGCCUUUCAAAAAAAAAAUUCAUAAUGGAGUGGUCCCGGCCGGAACGAGCCUCCGGUCCGGACCCCUCCCGGCCGAAACAAGCUUCCGACCGGGACCACUCCCUUCCAAUAAAAUUUUUCGGAAGGCAUCGAAGCCUACCGAAACCUCUUUUCGAAAGGCACCGAGGCCUCCUGUAAUCUUUAACGAAUCUUCGAGUGACAGACACAGUAGGGACUUGUCGUUGUGCAUGGAUUUAAAUGAAACUAAACCAUUAAUUUAUUAUCGUAUGUUCGCGUCACACACAAUUCAGACAUUUUCAGUAAAGGACCUAUGGAUUCAACCGUGCAUACUCUGCAUGCUAAUUACCGUAUAAGUCAUGUUGCCACAUCUGUUUAGCGCGGUCUUGCGCCCAGUAACUCCAAAACAUAGACUUCCCCAGGAUGGGUAAAACCUGAAGAUCAUCAUCUAAAGUGAGCAAGACCCAGUGAUUCCCGAUACACACUAUAUACGACACACCUCUUGGUAUCGUUGUGCCAUCUUGUACAAUCAACGGUAGGUAAGUCUCCCCAUACAGUACCCCUCAUAAUCCAGGUUCGAAGACAAUGAAAGUCUAGUUAAAUAUGGUGGCAUACCCUAAAAGAUCCAUGUUCCAAAACCACCAUGAUUCAUCACAUGGUGUUUCCCAUAGCCAACCUAACCGGUGAAUGACGCCGUUCAAGUCAAUUGUAUAGACAUUACUGUAUAGUUCGUACCAGUUCAACAUAACAUGUUCCAUUAGACGCCUCUGCAUGUCCACAUACUAACUAUCGUCACCGGCCGUAACUAUGUAUGAAAUGCACCGAAAUCCGCAAUGUCCAUCCCCACGUGGGUUGAACACGUCACCUAGCAUGGGGUGCAUACCUGCCGGGAUAUACCUCCAAAACGGACGAACUGUAAAAAAAUGGAACAACACAUGAGUCAGACAGUUAGACGAAAUGAGAUCGCAACAGCUAUAUCGACUAUUUAACAUACCACUAGUUGGAAGUGAUGAGGCCGGAGUCGGGGCCGUGUUCGAAGCAGUAUGUUUCGAGGAAGGUGUAGAUCUAGUCGAGCUACCUUUGCUCUUGGGAGGAGUACACUGUGCACUAGCAUGCUCACGCCAAGAAGGAUUUUGACGAUCGGUCUCUCUUGCACGCGAUCGGCCUUUAGGAGCAUCAGCAACCUUCGGUUCCUUAAAACCUUCAGACUCGGGUUGAAAUGCUUACCGAACUAAUCGACUCAACGUCCGGACGGAUGGCCCUCCUCUGCCGGGCUCGUAUACGGCAAUGAAUGCCAAAAUUUAUGCAAGUGGUAUGGUUUCAGCUCGUCGUCAGUGGCCUCCUUAGAAUGCAAACUACAAGUACACGGGGUUCCAUGCGUUGUCUCCACUACAUAGUCACAUGGUGUUACCUUCGAGAGCUCUUCUGUCAAAAGCUCAAUUGCCCAUUCCGAGACUGCUUUAUUGAGAUAAACAAAUUGUGGUCUUUGCACGUAACGGUACACCUACGCCCAAUGAAACAAAACAUGAAAUAACUAGUUACAAUAACUGUGUCAGAAUAACUACUUAUUGCCACAUGAAAUAUGUAACUAGUUAGGGCAACAGGGUGUAAAUACCUUUGCGCAAGAGUCAUCCAAUGCCUUCUGAACUUUGAUGACCUGUCCCUCGAUGGAUGCAUGGUAGCCCUCGAAUAGAGAAUCAACAGCUUGAUUGGAAGAGUUGUACCACGUCUUCAGCGAGAAGAGUUGUACCACGACUUCAGCGACGAGUGUUUAGAUUCCAUCCUGUUAGUGCUCGUGUUUCCAAUGUGGAAAACCUAAUUCGUAUCGCAAUGAGCCCACUGGGUCUUGCACGUAGCCACUCACUGGUUAGGUACUCGAUCAACCCUCCAACAUUGGCCCAAUCACUAUCGACCAUGCGUUCCCACUCUUCGUAGAAUUCUUCAUGGGAAAGUGCGUUCAACACUCUAUUCCAUCUCCCGUGCACGAAGGCCUCGGCAGAUUCCUCACUACUUGUCACAAAUUUUAUUUUUGCAGCUAUAUUCCUUUUCAUAUGCCACACGCAAAGUAAGUGUGGCAUUUCUGGGAAGACAGUCCGCAACGCAACAGCCAAUCCGCGAGCCUUAUCGGUGACAAACGCCGUUGUUUGUCACUCGCCCAACAAUGAGCGCAACUGAUUCAACACCCAAACAUACGUCUCCGCCUUUUUGUUCUCAACGAGUACAUAGCCGAUACUAAAGUUCUUCUGCACUGGAGUCACACCUAUCAACUGGAUCACUGGCUUCCUAUACUUGUUGGUGUUGAAGGUCGAAUCAAUUAGAAUGACGUAAUACCAAGCCCCCAACAUCUGAGCACUCUCGGGGUGUCAGAGAAAAAGGUUGGCCAAAUUUUUCUCCUCAUCCUCUGUAAACUGUACAAAGUACCCUAGUCGUGUAGCGGCUCUCAAUGUCCAAUCCGUCGAACUCAUGAAUCCUAAUUUUCCUUUUCUUACCUUGUACGACUCGUUGUAUAUCUGAUUUAUAUUGUGGUGAGAAUUGAACUUCUUGUUCAUAGCGUAUCUGAUCUUGUUUGGUUGUGUGUGAGUCGCAAGCAUGUCUCUUCUGAUCUUGUUCGGCUGUGUGUGCGUCGCAAGUAUGUCCCUUAUUUCGCUCUUCUCUUCACUCGUAAGUGCAUUACUUUGUGGUAACCUUUUGAUACUGUACAAUUGUUGGUGUGGCCUACACCGUCAAUGAAGAACUUCCAAUCGCCACCUACGACCCGACACCGCACCGCAAGUUUGCAGGGGCAGGUAAACUGUCAAGGACGAGUGCUUUAGGCUUGAAUGAUGAUUGUGCUUCAGAUGUUGUGAUGGAGAACAGAAGACAAGAAAUUGAGACAAGGAAAAUGCAGCUACAACCAAGAGCCAUGGUUUGGUUUGGUGAUUUGCAAGGAUAUAUGAUUUUUUGUGAGCAAUCCUGAUGCCUAGUGGAUGUGUUAUUUAUAUUGGUUUCUUGUGUAUGAAAACGCGGCCACCAUGUUAAUGACUGACAGCUUUGGAGGCAUCGUUAUCGCUGUAGUGGUGAUCAAAAAUUGACCAAGACACAGAGCAUACCUUAACAAAAAAAAUAUGCCAUAUUUAUCCAAAAGUUCAACAUAUUUUGUUCGUUAACUCGUUACAUUGUAAGUAUGAAGAACGAGUUGGUGAGCUCUUAUCGUUUUUUACAAAAUUUAGGGAACAUUGCCAAGUCGAAGAGCAAUCCAAGUAGUUCGAAGCAACCAAGUUAAAAAAUUAAAUGGUGAAACAUCAUUGGAUCUAUCUUAGCUUUGAAUUCCUAAUUAAUCAAACAUUUACUUUAAUCAAAAAAGAUUUUGAUUUGGGUAUUUGUCAUUAUAGCAUAACAUGGGAAAAUAAGAUUUGUAAAGAUCAUAUAGACUGGAUCAUAAGAUUUGCAAAGAUGCGAGUGGUGAAAUAAUGACUGCAGCUUAAAGGUGCUGGUAGGGGUGGAAGUUUGGGAACGGGAUUUGAGAAUUCCCGUUUUCGUAUUGUCACCAUAUUUUGAUAAUUUUGAUUUUUGAAUUCUGAAAUAAAUCAGUCGGGUUUAGUUUGAAAAUUUUAAUUUUGGAAUUGGGAAUUUAGGUUUGGUUCCGGGAUUCCCUAUAUAUACCAAAAAUGCAAUCCAUUUACAACAAAAAUCACAUGACACCGUGUUGGUGUCAUGUGAGCCUGUUCUCCAUGGGCUUGCUGUUAUAGUUCUUGGUUCUAAUUUUGGUUGGUUAGGACCACCUGGCCAUCAACUAGCAAAAACAAAUACCUAAUUGUUUUUUCACCAAAUAAAAAUCCAAUUGUUCAAUACGAAUAAAUGAAAAAUUUAGGGAUAGAGGAUGGAUAGAGGAAUUUUUUUUAAACAUAAUUAAAUUAAAAAUUAUGUGUAUAGUUAAAUCGAGAUUUAAAUUAUAAAAAGCAAUUAUUAAGAUUUAUGGUGCGCCACACAAUUAGUGCGAUUAUUUGAUUUAUUUCACCAAACUCAGAUUUGUAUUUUAACACCCAAAUUUUUAUAUAAUUUCAAUUUAAUUACUCAAUUAGUUUAUAAAGUGCGGUUAACUGAAACUCGAUUCUCGGUGCGUUAGGUUAACGUCAAUUGGUUACGAAAUUGGUUUAAAUGCACUAAACCGGUUAAAAUGUAAGCUCCAUCCGUAUCCGGGCUGAACUCGGGUUAAACGUAACAAAUUUUAAAUUGAAUAAUUGAAAAUUUUAAGUUUGCGUUAUACUGAUAUAAUAACGACAUAGCACGAAGAGAAUUAAACCAUUGAAUUAUUCUAUAACUGAAAGAUUUGCAAAUAUUGUAACCGAAAGAGUUACAAAUAUUGUAACUACAGCUCUCAAACUCCUUUAUGUAGAAUGAAUAUCCUUUAUGUAGAAUGAAGAACUUCAACUAAUCGGCCAAAUCGUCGAUUUCAUAGAUCACGGCGGCAAAAUAGCCGCAGUUGAGAGGUUGUGAAAUUAGCGGGCGCGGAGGCGGAUGAUAGGAAGAGAUCUGGACGGGCGUUUUCCGAUGCUCCUCCGUCACAAAUCCUGAAAUUCUUGGAACGAUUUCUCAUGAAUUUUAAACCUCUUCCACUAUUGACCAUACUUACAAGCCAAACAAACAACCCUCCCUACUUUGUUUUACAUUUUUCUUUAAAAAAAAGGACCAACUUUGUGUUGUGAUCUCGACAAUCCAUAUUUCAGGAUGCGUAAACUAAAUUCCAAACCAGUAAGUAAGACCCAGAUAGAUCUGAACUGCUUUUGCCACAAAUGACAAAACCCAAGCAAAGCACCAGAGUAAACGACCCAGAGUUUCACAUUCUUUAAACAUCAUCCAAAAAAGCAGAGCAUCACCUUUGCAGAAUAUACAAAGAUCUUAUGAUUUCAUCCUCUUCAUAAUUAUAUCUGUAAACUAAUUACUUUUUUACUCCCAUUUACCAAUCUAUCUCUCUUAUUCGAUCCCCAAAAUGUGUUGCUUUUAUCUAUCAAUUCCGAAAGUAUUACCAUAGCAUCACAAAAUAGAAAUUCACAAUAGCUUCUCAGCCAAAACGCUCCAUGCUUCUUACUCAAGGCAUUGGCUAACCAUUCCUUGCCUCCUUACUUUCCUUUGCACCCCUAC
Molecule: long non-coding RNA, 79368 nt
Filed under: Linum usitatissimum (flax)
Lineage: Eukaryota; Viridiplantae; Streptophyta; Magnoliopsida; Malpighiales; Linaceae
Description: long non-coding RNA (LUSI_LNC003396)
Source: RNAcentral